RNAcentral lists this long non-coding RNA (57548 nucleotides) under Triticum aestivum (bread wheat). RNAcentral's name for it is "long non-coding RNA (TAES_LNC013808)". Lineage: Eukaryota; Viridiplantae; Streptophyta; Magnoliopsida; Poales; Poaceae. The record is from RNAcentral.
UAAGACUUUGCCCUGAACUAUAUUUCUUACUGAACCGUGUGGAUGAUGGUCGCUGUAGUUGGGUGGUGUGAAAGGGAAGAUGUUCAUGGGAUCGAAUGUUUAGUGUGGUGCUUAGGGUAGGUCUAUUCUGUAUUUGGUGGUACAAGAUGAGGUCUGCAAGGAACAGAAGGGGCUGUCUCAUUUUAGGAAUGUAUUAUUCUGCACUUGGUGAUUUUGAUCUGUCAUCUUCCUUAGUACUAGUUCAUGCUAUUAUUAUGAUUGCCAUCAAUCUCAAUAUAUCAUGUUUUUGUUUAGACAGACUCAAUAUAUCAUCUGCAGUAUAGGGGUUCGCUGCUAUGCUAAAUAUUGGAGCUUGUAGUAAGAUGUGUAACAAGAUCAAGAUCCGCCUUUUAGUUCGUCUGAUCACAUUGCUUUCUUUUUUUAAUUUGACCACAUUGCUAGAAGUCUCUAUCCAGGCCCACUUUUUAGCCCAUUUUGCUUUGGGAGAAUAUCACACCAAAUUUUGAUAGAAACCGGUGAAAACCAUGCUGAAACGGUGUUUUUAAGUUUCAAAGAAAUCAUAAGAAAAAUACAGAAUGUCAAGAGUGAUGUUCUAUUUACAUGUGAAAUUUCCAAGUUCAAACAAAACACCAUUUAUGAGCACUAGUUUUGUUUUCCUUGUAAAUGUCUCAAGUUAGUUUUUUUUAAAGGAGGACAAACCCUGGCCUCUGCAUCAAAAGGAUGCAUGCCGCCAUUUUAUGAAAAAGUUCAUCAUGAAAAGUUUCACAGUGCAGUAACUGAUUCCACUCCAGUAAGCCAUGUCCCAAAUAACAUGUCAAUGCUAACUGGAGGGCUUAUAAUAAAGGCUAUAUGAAUCGUAUGCCAUAGAAGCUUAGCGAGAGGGCAAUCGAUAAAAAGAUGUUGUAUCGUUUCAUCAUUCUGACAGAAACAACAAUGUGAAUUGCCUACCCAACUGCGCCUAAGCAGAUUAUCUUUGGUGAGAAUCACUUGCUUAUGGACGAACCACAUGAAUAUCUUGAUUCUCAACGGAACUUUAAUUUUCCAAAUAUGAAUAGAUCUCGCGAUUUGGCCAGAAUCAAUCAGAUCCAAGUACAGCGAUUUUACCAUAAAAACCCCGUUCUUAGUUAUUUUCCAGUGAAAUAGGUCAGGCUGGUUAGAAAGUUGAACAUCCAUCAACCUUCGCACAAGAUGCAACCAAGCGUUUCACCUCUCGCCCACUAGGGAUCUCCUGCACUGGAUAUUCAGCGGGGAUGACUGUAAUACUGUAUCAAUGUAAACCUCCUUACGCUGUACAAUAUUAUACAGAGCAGGAUAUUGCAAGGCCAAGGACGUCUCCCCUAACCAUGUAUCUUCCCAAAAUCUCGUUGUAGUACCAUCUCCAACCAAAAAAAUUGCUCUAUGAAAAAAGGCAUCCUUUAUUCUCAUUAGCCCCUUCCAGAAUGGUGAGUCGUUAGGUCUGACGGUACCUGGGCCAGAGACUUUGAGACUAGAUAUUUGUUACGAAGAAUCUGAGCCCACAUGCCGUCGGUCUCAACCGAUAACCUAAAUAGCCAUUUACUUAAUAAGCAUUUAUUUUUCAUCUCCAAGUUCUCAAUCCCAAACCCCCCUUGGUCCUUUGGUCUGCAAAUAAUAUCCCACCUGGUAAGCCUGUAUUUCUUCUUUACUUCAUCGCUUUGCCAGAAGAAACGAGAUCGAUAGAAAUCUAAUCUUUUCCGCACCCCUACAGAUACUUCGAAGAAAGAUAAUAAGAACAUCGGCAUACUAGUUAGUACUGAGUUUAUUAACACCUGCCGACCUCCAUAAGACAUAAGCUUGCCCUUCCAGCAACUUAGUUUUUUUUCAAAUCGAUCCUCAAUGCAUUUCCAUUCUUUAUUUGUAAGCUUUCGAUGGUGAAUUGGGACUCCGAGGUAACUGAAAGGCAAGUAUCUCAUUUCACAACUGAACAAUUGUCUAUAUGCAUCUUGUUCCUCUUUGGCUCUUUCAAAGCAGAAUAAUUUGUUCUUGUUAAAAUUUAUUUUUAAUCCUUGCACUUUAAGUGAGAAGGAAUCACGGCAGGCAGAAAAAUCCAAACAAAUGUACACUAUAAAUCUAGCUGAGUAAUUACUGUGUGUAUAUAUUGACACAUGAAUCAUGUAAAGCUGGAGUAUAUGUGUAAUCAUGGUGUGCAUCGAAGAAAAUUAACAUGAUUCUUGUGUCAAUAUGUACAACAAGCGAUGCCACGAACACUUCCUCGCACGUGUGAGUUUCGGUCGAUUUGUUAACUUCAUAAACCAAUGCACGAAAGAUAAAAAAUACUGAAGAUCAAGCUGCAUGGGUUGCUGCUCAAAAUCCUCAUCGGAUUCCAUAACUGGGGAUUAGAAGAAAACAAGUGUGAGAUGAAAUAACAUAGAACUCCAGAAUUUAAAAUGCCUAGCUAGCAGUGAGCACCGUAAUCCCAUAUACACUAUUGGAAUCCAGUAAUUUGCCGUCUGCCACCUCUUUGCCGUCCACCAGCUGACGGUAAAGAGCCUCUUUUGCCGUCCGCUUCCACAUAACGGACGACAAAGAAUGUGCAGAUGGAAAAAAGUCUAUUUGCCGUCCGCUAUUUCUUUGCCGUCAGCCAGCUGACGGCAAGGAGGUAGAAGGCAAACAGCAAAGGGCCAGGUGGGCCCCACAGGGCAUGAUGUGGCUAGGUCAGGUUCUUUGCCGUCCGCCGGCAGACGGCAAAGAUGAGACGUGGGCCAGCCCUAAAUGGCCGCCCUCUUUGCCGUCUGCUAGCGGACGGCAAAGAAGGCCCACUUAACGGGCCGAGCCGUCUCCCCUCUCUCUCUCUUUCUCUGUCUCCCUCGAUCCCGCGCGCCCGCCUCUCUCCNNNNNNNNNNNNNNNNNNNNNNNNNNNNNNNNNNNNNNNNNNNNNNNNNNNNNNNNNNNNNNNNNNNNNNNNNNNNNNNNNNNNNNNNNNNNNNNNNNNNNNNNNNNNNNNNNNNNNNNNNNNNNNNNNNNNNNNNNNNNGGUGCCGGACCCCUCCCCGCGGCCCUGCGCCCCGCCGCCCCACUGCCGCCCUCCUUCCCGCGGCCCCUGCGCCGCCCCACCGCACCGGCCGACCUCGCCCUCCACCGGCGAUCCCCUGCAGGUUUGUUCUCCCCCCCUUUUUAGUUUAGUUUUUUUAGUUUCUUUUAGUUUAGUUUCUGUUUUAGUUUUAGUUUUAGUUUUAGUUUUAGUUUAGUUUUAUUUUCAGUUUAGUUUUAGUUUAUUUUAUUUUAGUUUAUUUUAGAUUAGUUUUAGUUUAGAUUAGUUUUAGUUUAGAAGAAGAAGAGGAGUAGAAGGAGGAGGAGGAGGGAGGAAGAGGAGGGAGAAGAAGAGGAGUAGAAGGACCCCCUAACCCGCUGAGCCUGUUGUAAAAAUUUAGUUAGGUCGACGGAAGAAACAAAAUUGCUAUGUUAUUCAUCUUUCGAUUUAAAUGUGCAGUUAUUUCGUCGCUGCGAGGGUCUGGUGUUCGAUGAGCUCUCCCCAUGCGUUCGUUGGUGAGCACAAAUGAUAUCUCCUCCUCCCCCCUUCAUUUGCUCUGUUCUGGUCUUCGUGCCGAUGAAACUUGCUAGCUAUAGGUGUCAAUCAUCAGUAUGCGUAACCACUAUGUGUCUCCCGUUCGAAAGGGUUACAUCUAUAAAUAUGCAUGCAUUUGCAUAUUUAUAAUCGUGAUUCUUUCGAAUUGUCCAACGUUAUCCAUGGACAGCCCGAGUAUGUGUAGAUUGGGUUCGUUUUCCCAUAUGCUCUGCUCCGGAUCCGAUGCAGAAUUUCGUCAGUGCCUCCUUGUUGUUCUCCGGGUACACAUCCUCUCUGCUUAUUGCCGAGACGUGUAUCAGGAGAACAGCAGGGAGGUGCUGCCGAAAUUUUGCGUCGGAUCCGGAGCAGAGCAUGGGAAAACGAACCCAAUCUACACAUACUCGGGUGGGAUUAGGACCUAUCUUUACCUAUUAGCGUGUAGGUUGCAUGGACGUAAUAAAACUGACAAACUCCAUUAACUGAUGGAUAUGGUUUGCUUAAUUAUGUAUAUAUUUCUUGUGUGUCCAGUAGGAAGUCAACAUGAGUGAUCGUGCAUGGAUGUACACCGGUUACACUAGUCAGAAAGUUUGGACUGAGGAAUGGUUAACAAAAACCAAGGGGUUUGUUAGAGCCGCAUUUGCAAAUGUGCCCCUGUGCCCGUUGCGACAACUAUAAAAAGAGGGACGAGCUUGAAAUGAGUAAAGACCUUCAGAAGUUUGGUUUUACGCCUGGUUACACGGUCUGGACAUUACAUGGUGAGUCUGCCCAACGUGCCAGAGCCGAGGUUCAUCGUCGCACCAACGAGCAUGGUACCGGGACCGCAUACAUGGUGCAAGAGUUUGACGACGCUCGGGACUCGGACGAAGAGAUGGAGGAAUCUGCAAAGGCCUUCACUGAAAUGUUUGAGUCCUCAAAACGUCCUCUCCACGAGCACACUGAGCUUUGUCAGCUGGAUGCCAUCUCACAAAUAAUGGCUAUGAAGGCUCAAUUCAACUUGGGCAGAGAAUGCUACGACGGGAUGAUGACACUAUUCGGACGAUUUCUACCCAAAGGCCAUGUGCUACCUCCAAACCUGUACCAGUCAGACAAAAUCCUUCAUGCUCUUAAGAUGCCCUGUGAGAAGAUACAUGCCUGUGAGAAAGGAUGUGUCUUAUUUAGGCUUCAGUAUGAGGACUUGAACUAUUGUCCCAUUUGCAAUUCUUCCAGGUAUGUUGUGGUAGACAACGGUAUGGGUGAGAAGACGCAGACCAAAAUACCCGUUAAUGUUCUUCGGUAUAUGCCAAUCAUACCAAUACUUCAACGUCUUUUCAUGGUCGAAGAGACGGCCAGACAGAUGACAUGGCACAAAACGGGCAAAAGAACCGAACUAGAUGCAGAUGGGAAUGUGAUGAUGGUGCACACAUCGGAUGGUGAAGCGUGGAAGUGCUUCGAUGAAUUACAUAAGGAAAAAAGGCAGAUCCAAGGCAUCCUCGAGUCGCCGUCAGCACAGAUGGGUUCAGUGUUUGGUCAGAUGGCAACCCCAUACAGUUGUUGGCCCGUGUUUGUCAUUCCACUCAAUCUCCCCCCGGGCAGAUUAUGCAAAGAAAGAACAUUUUCCUGACAUUGAUAAUUCUAGGGCCCAACUAUCCGGGGAAGAAUAUGAAUGUGUACAUGCAUCCGCUUAAGGACGAAUUGCAAGAAGCUUGGGAUAAUGGGUUCAAGACAUACGACGCCUUUAGCAAACAGAACUUCAUAAUGCGUGCCUGGUACAUGUACUCGACGCAUGACUUGCCGGCGUAUGCGCUAUUCGUUGGCUGGUGUGUGCAUGGAAGGUUCCCGUGCCCCACAUGCAAGGGAGCUCUUGAGUUUCGUUGGCUGACGGCAGGGCACAAGUAUAGUUACUUCGACUUGCAUAGACCGUUUCUACAUCCUGGCCAUAAGUUCAGGAAAGACAAGAAGAACUUCAUCAAAGGUAGAGUUGUCAAACACUCUGCACCACCUGCGUUGACAGGCCAACAGACCCUAGAUCAGUUAAACGCUCUCGAGCCAGAUCCAGAGCGUCCAGGGUAUUUCAAGGGGUAUAAUAAGGAACACGCCUGGACUCACAAGACAUGCUUCUGGGGUCUGCCUUACUUCAAAGACCUCCUUUGCCCACACAACAUCGACGUGAUGCACACUGAAAAGAAUAUCGCCGAAGCCAUUUUUGGUACAUUGUUCGGCAUAAAGGGGAAAUCAAAGGAUAAUACUAAGGCUAGAUUCGAUCAAGAGGAGCUAUGUGAUAGACCUUUACAAAACAUGAAAGAGCCGAAAGGAAAGGGGAAUUGGAAGAAGCGAAAGGCAUGGUUCAAUCUUGGAAGGCCAGCUAUGAAGGAAAUUAUUUUGUGGGUGAAAAUGCAGUUGAUGUUCCCCGAUGGGUAUGCAGCAAAUCUAAAGAGGGAAGCGAAUCUUCAAAAAUUGAAAAUAUUUGGUCUAAAAAGUCAUGAUUGGCACAUAUGGAUUGAGCGGAUAAUGCCAGUGAUGUUGCGUGGCUUCAUCCCUGAGGAUGAAUGGCUAGUACUGGCAGAGCUGAGCUACUUCUUCCGUGUUCUUUGUGCGAAAGAACUAUCGCCUGGCCUCCUAGAAGAAAUGGAACAGUUGGCACCGGAGUUGAUCUGCAAGUUAGAGAAGAUCUUUCCGCCAAGCUUCUUUAAUCCAAUGCAACACUUGAUUUUGCAUCUCCCGACCGAGGCACGAUUGAGGGGGCCCGUGCAAAAUCGUUGGUGCUACUCAACUGAGAGGAUGCAGAAGACGCUUCGAGCAAAAUGUAAAAAAUAAACGUAGAAUAGAAGCAUCGAUGGCGUAGGCAUUCAUCACUGAGGAGGCGGCAAACUUCGUGACAGCACACUACGAAGCCAAAAAUCGUCAUUUGCAUAAUCCGAAGCCUCGGUACAAUGCUGACGAACCUCAAAAGGGUCAAUCCAACCUCAGCCUAUUCAAAGGGAAUCUCGCACCAGCCAGUGGUUGGAAACCAGUAAGGUUGGAUGUUGAAGAAUGGCGGACCAUUUCGCUGUAUCUCUUCAACAACCUAAGAGAAGUGCGGCCAUACAUCGAGUAAGAUCUUGGUAUAUUGUUUCACAACUUCUAAUUCCUUUGAACUUCUCUUAUUCCUGGAUAUUUUAUGCAGUCGAUACGUCGCCAUAUUCUCGUAUGGAGCGGUGAUCCAAAAGGAUUCCGUCGAAGAGUAUGAGCUUCUGGCAAAACAAGGAGCCGAACAUCCCGGUUCAUCUCUUGGUUCAAAAAAGGGUAAUUUCCAUUAGACCCUUUCUUUUCUUUGGCUAAUUUUCGACUAAUGCAACAAUCCUUUCGUAUUAAACUUGUAGGCUAAUUCAGAGAUUAUGGAUGCCGAAUUGAGACAAGUAGCUAAUGGUUUUGACUAUAAGGUCCGUUCAUUUGACAAAUACGACAUCAACGGGUAUCGCUUUCGUACCUAUGGCAAAGAGCUAUCUAUGGCCGACCGAAAGUCUACAAAUUGUUGUGUCUCUGCUAUCGGCGAAGGAGGUAUCGAGUAUUAUGGAAGAGUUGAAGCAAUUUAUGAACUUGAAUUCUAUGGUGAAAACCCACCAAACGUCGUAGUCUUCAGAUGUUAUUGGUUCCAGCCGAGGGAGACUAGAAGGACUCAUGAACAUAUAGGGCUAGUCGAAAUCAAACAAAGCACCCAUUUGGAUGUUCCCGAUGUCUAUAUUACGGCUCAACAGAUAACCCAAGUUUUCUAUCUACCGUGGGCCUGUCAAACUGAUCCAAAUCUCAGUGGUUGGGACGUCGUUUAUGAAGUGUCGCCACGUGUUAGACCACCUCCCCCCAAUGAAAAGGAUUAUGAACCUCACAUUAACCAAGACACAUAUGACGAAGGAGAAUUCUUCCAAGAAACACGUCUUUCCAAAAAAAUGUUUCAAGAACCGCUCUACUCCACCCCAGAACAUUGAAGUAGACAACGAUAGUGAAUCCGACUUCGCCCCUGAGCCGGAACAAGAAGAGCCGGAAGAAGAAGAAGUUACUGCUGUAGAUGACAUGUCAAUGCUUGAACGAUUACGUAAAGGUGGCCUUCCACAUGAUGAUGCAUUUAUUAAUGAUGAUGAUGAGCACGUCAUUAGCGAUAGUGAUGAUGAUGAUGCUUUUAUUAAUGAUGAUGACGAGCACGUCAUUACCGAUAAUGAUUAUUAGGUAUUCAAAUUUUUAUGUUGUACUUGAUUUAUAUAGUUAUUUGUAUGAUUGUAUGAUUUAUAUAGUUGGUAUUUAUAAUUUUCUUACUUUGUAUGAUUGUUUCUUAUACAUAGUGCCAUGGUCUUGAUUUCCGCCCGGUCGGCCCUCGCCCACUUUAUGAUUCGGAUGUGGUAAAUUCUCUUUCAUAACUAUUUGUUGCAUUUCGCAUUUAUGACAAUUAUGGUCAUCAAGUUGACAUAGAGAUAUUUUAAUCUAGGAGGUAUGUGAACCGGAAUUUGAAACGGACCCUCUUGUCGAGAAGUUAAAUUUAGUUGAAAAAUAAAAUGAGUAUUUGAAAGAAAAAAUUAAAAGAAUUGAAGAAGAGAAGAUGACAUUGUUGAUGCCAUCGAUGAUCACAAGAUGAAGACGAAUGCAAUGCGCUUGAAGAUGGAUGCAAUGCGCCUGAAGCUUAAGAAGAUUAGAAAAUAUGCCAUUGAUAAUGAGGCUUGGUAUCAUUAUGCCGUUGGAUCAAUUGUUACCUUAGUUGCGAUCUUCAUCACAUUUAUUGUGAUGAGGGUAAGUUUUCUCUAGUGUUUUGCUUUACAAAUGGAUACUUAGCUUAUUUUCCUCCUAAAUGGCAUAAUUACCUAAGUUAGAUAAAAAAUAAGCUAUACUUAGCUUAUUCAGUUCAUUUAUGACAUACUUAGGUAAAAAUGGCAUGAUAAUCUUUGUUAGCUCCAAAAUGAUAUAGACUUAGCUCAUUUUCCUCGAAAAUGACAUAAUAACCUUACUAAGCUCUAAAAUGACCUAUUUACCUACCUUAGCUCUAAAAUGACCUACACUUAGCAUUUUUACCUAGCUUAGCAAUAAAAUGACAUUUUUACCUACCUUAGUUAGAAGAAGAAGAAGAUAAAGAAGAGGAGAGGAGAAAAAGAAAGAGAAGAAAAAAAAUCUUCUUCUUCUUCUUCUAACUAGUCUUCUUCUUCUUCAUCAUCAUCUUCUAACUAGUCUUCUUCUUCUUCUUCUUCUAACUAGUCUUCUUCUUCUUCUUCUUCUUCUAAAUUUCAUCUUUCCCAAUUUGCAGAUUUGCUUUACAUGAGGAAGCUUGGAUUCAUGGAGUGUACUAUUCUUCUGGUGCUUCCUUGUUGUUUAUGAAAACUUGUUUGGAUAUGUAUGUCUAUAUGGAUAUGUUGUUGGAAACUUGUUUCUGGUUAUGUAUAUAUGGAUAUUGGACUUUGUUGAACUAUGUUGUUGGAUUGGAUGAAAUAUGUUGUUGGACAUGCUGUUGGAUAUGUAUGCAUGCAUAUCUGUGUUUGAAACCAUGUCUAAUUAACGGGAUUUAAAUAAAAACAAGGGAUAUAUAGCCUCUUCGCCGUCUGCUAGCUGACGGCAAAGAGGACAUGUGGCAGUCACCUGUUCCAACUGGGAACACUGGCUGCCUAUUUGGUCAUUUUGCCGUUUGCUGGCAGACGGCAAAGUGACCAGCUAUGCCGUCUGCCAGCAGACGGCAAAGAUUCAAACCUCUUUGUCGUCUGCUGGCGGACGGCAUAUCUGGACACGUGGUAGCUUCCCAGUGCUGCCUAGCUGGGCUCUUUGCCGUCCGUCAGCGGACAGCAAAGAUCUUUGACUCUUUAUCGUCCGCUGGCAGACGGCAAAGAGCGUCGUUAACCCCCUAACGGCUCUCACGCCACCGCACUGCCGUCCACUGUCUUUGCCGUCUGCUGGCCUCGGAUGGCGGACGGCGUAAUCCUUUGCUGGCACGCGUUCAUCCGGACAGUUUGCCGUCCGCUAGCGGACGGCAAAGAAUUAUGUCGUCUGUGAUCUAUGCCUUUGCCGUCCGCCAUGGCGGACGACAAAGAAGCUGAUUCCAGUAGUGAUAGUGAAUGAUAACCUAAAUGAAUUCAAACGAGACCAUACAGUGAACAAGAUCAAACUGAUUGCCACGGCCGUGGUAAGCAGUGCGAUUAGAACCAGCAGGUUGCCUGGCAGUAGAGGAGCUUCAUGGGGGGCAAAGGGGGCCAUUGCCCCUCCCCCCAAACAUGCAUAACUUGGAGAUGUAUGUGCCUUGGAGCGUGCCGACGUCGUCCAGCGAGGCCGGCCCCGCAGGCUUGGGCGGCGUCACCUCCGUGCCGCCAUCCUCCAUGUCCUCCAGUGCCUCCGGGCAGGCCUUGAUGUCGUCGACGUUCUGCUCACCUUCGACGCUGAUGUGCUUCGCGGCGGUCUAGACUGUGACUCCGAGCUCGACUUGGAUAGACAUGGUUGCGGUUGCUGAAAUGGGCCCUGGACUGAGCGUAGCGAAGCACUGAUCAGGUGUGAGCCCUUUAUUUUACUGAGACGGGGCAGUGCAGAAUAGGAGUCAGCCCUAGGAUGAAAAGGUCCCCUCCUUAUCAACUGCUUAAUAGUUAAUUGCAUGAGACUACUCAUCAACAAGAUUUUCAAAAGCUCAUUGCAGAUUAAGAGAAUUACAACCAAGCACUAAUUACAUUAGGAAAUUUCUUCUUUUUAGCCCAUUUGGCCACAUUGCUCUUUUUUUUAGUUUGACCACACUACUAGAAGUCUCUCCAGACCCACUUUUUAGCCCAUUUGGCCACAUUGCUUGCUUAGAGAGAAUAUCACAUGAAAACCAAGUUUUGAUCCAAACCGGUGAAAACCAUGUUGAAACGAUGCUUUUAAGUUUCAAAAAAAUCUGAAAAAAUACAGAAUGUUAGAGUGUCAUGUCCUAUUACAUGUGAAAUUUCCAAGUUCAAACAAAACAACAUUUAUCAACAUAAAUGGUGUUUUGUUUGAACUUGGAAAUUUCACAUGUAAUAGAACAUUGGGUCUUGUUUCUGCAGGCUUGAAUAGACAGUAUAACCUGAACUUAACACAUACUAGGACUAUAUCUCGCCUUGCGCAAGCCGUAAGCUAGCAUCACAUGAAGGUUUCUCCCUCCUGUAGUUUACUGGGCCAUCCUGUGUUACUGUAUUUUUGCUGCUCGCUCGCUCGUUCGGGUUCGUUCGUUGCCCGGUUAGUUUUUCUUUUUUUCUCCUUAUCUAUUAGUUCCCCAAGUAAAGCUUGCAUCAAUUUUCUCUUUCUUGCUUUUUUUGUGUGUGUUUUACGGUUUUCAUCGGGAUUUUUAUUUUCUUUCUUUUUAUGUGUUCUUCUGUUUUCUUUGGUUUUUAUUCGUUUUCCUAUCUUUCUUAUUUUUUUGGGUUUCUUUGUUUUCUUCCUUUUCUUCUUUCCUCUUUCUUAGGUUUUAAUGUCGUUCUACAGUGAUAUUAGUUUUUCCCUUUUCCCUUUUGUUCUUUCUUUGGUUUUCACCGACAUUCUUUGUUUCUUUAUCUAUCUCUCUGGUUUUCUUGGGCUUGUUUUGCUUGCUUUUACAAGUUUUUUUCCUUUCUUGUUUUUUUUUCCUUUUUUGGUUUUCGUCAGUUUUGUUUUGUUUUUCAUUAUUUCUUUCUUUGUUUUCACAAUUUUUUUUCAUUCUUUUGCACUUUUGCUUUGCUUUUCUUUUUUGGGGGGUGUUCCUUCUUUUGCACUUUUGCUUUGCUUCUCUUUUUCAGCUUUCAUGGUUUUCUUUUGUUUUACUUUGUUUCUUUCUUUGGUUUUCAUCAUUUUUUUCUUUCUCUUUUCAUAUAGGAAGAAUAAUUUUUUCAUACAUGUUUACCAUUUUAUUCAAAUACAUGAGACAUUUUUCGCAUACAUCAGAAACAUUUUUUAUGUACAUGUUGAUCAUUUUUUAUGUGAAUCAUUUUUCAUAGAUAUUCUACACAUUUUUUAUACAUCAAACAUUUUUAUAUACACGUGUAACAUUUUAAAAAUACACUAUUAACACUUUAUAGAAUAUAAUGUUUUGAUGUCUAUUUUUUUCAUACAGUUUGGAACUUUUUUCUAUACAUCAGGAACAUUUUUUAUAUACACAUUUUAACUCUACUUUUUUUCAAAAUAAUUCCACCUUUUUUGUACACAUCCGGAACAUUUUUUAUACAUGUUUCGCACUAUGUAAAUACAUGAUUAACAUUUUUCUAUAUGCAAGUUUUUUUAUGUCUACUUUUUUGCAUACACUUUUUCCAUUUUUUUGUAUAUAUGAGGAACAUUUUUUCAUACACAUUUAACAUUUUCUAAUUACGUGAUUAAUUUUUUUCCAUAUGUAUAUGUUUAAGUCUACUUUCUUUCAUGCACGUUGUACAUUUUUCAUAUACAUUGGAAAAUAUUUUUUAUGCAUGCUUAACAUUUUUCAAAUGCAUGAUUAAUAUUUUUUCAGACACAUAUUCCAAAAUAUGAUUGUUCAAAUAUGUGUUAGUGUUUUUCAAAUAUGUCUUGAAACAAAAUUUGAAACCAUCAACAUUUUCUUAAUGCAAAUAUUUUCUCAAAUUUAAAUAUAUUUUGAAAUAUAUGUACUUUAGUUUUUUUAAUAUAACAAAAAGUAAAAAAAUAGAAUUCAAGAAAUCAAGGAAUGAACUGAGGAAACAAACAAACUAAGUACUACUGGGCUUGCCCAUUACCAAGUCGCGUCAGGCGAGCAAACGAUUCGUCACACUUGAUUCUCGCCAAGUUCGCAUGUAAUCAAGACAUUUUUCGAUAAAAGAACGCUUUUAUUUACUCUUACUGUAGCAUCAAGUGAAUACAAAACAUAAUGAGCGACACAUGGCCUCUGCAUAGCUAAGAUGCACACAACCUUAAACAAACAAGUCUAGCAAAGUACAAUUAAGAAACCGACAAGUUAUGUAAUCAAGACAUAGGACAUUUCUCAAAAGAAAAAUCUAGACAUAGCACGCCAUGGUUGGUUGGGUAGUCCGUAUGAUGAUACCCUUUUACAUAUGAACAUUAUGCAUUAAUAAAGUUAUGUGAGAAUUCUAAAAUUAUAUUUGUCUCGCUUGAAGCAAGACAUAUGGGCGCAUCUAUAAACCGGGAGCAACUAACUGAGGGGUACCCCUUGCAGGAGCCCCUGAAGGGUCAUUUUUGGUGGACACGGCCACCGCCACGUGUUGCGUGUUGGGCACUCCCUCGGCAUUAUAUAUUUUUAUUUUUCUGUACGCAUUUUCGGGGUUUAGAUGAGUUUUUGUUUUUGCUUUUUUGGUUUUGCCCUGUUUUUCCUAGGUUUUGAACAAAAAACGAUUUUUUAUGUUAAAAACUCAUUUUUUUUCCUUCCUGAGAGGCAUAAUUUUUCUUCUCAUGGAGGCACAGAUUUGCUUCUGCGAGAGACAUAACUAUGCCACACGGAAAGAGGAAAAACAUGUUUUGUUUUCAUGAGAGGUAUAGAUUUGCUUACAUGGAGACAUGGAUUUGCUUCCGCGAAAGGCAUUGCGCCUCUCGAAAAGGGGAAAACGUGUGUUUUCUUAAUUACGUGACAGAAGCAGAUUUGCUUCACGUGGAGGUACAAAUUUGUUUUCGCGAGAAGCAUAAUUGUGCCUCUCAAAAAGGAAAAGGGGGAUCGUGCUUCCGGCUUGUUUUUUCUUCUUCUUGAUUUUUUUCGUGAAAACAAGUUCGUUUAAACCUAUUAACAUGGGAUCUAGUUCCGAAAAUCUUGACGCGAUAAAUGCAACAGUGAAAACGGUCCGCGGUUUGCACGUACGAUUUAAGAGAUAAAACAUUUUGAAUAAAAGAAUCCAUGACAAAAGUGAAAACCCCCGGGUUGUGACAGGUGGCGCAUAUACAGUGCAACACUUGUUGGUAAAGUGGGAGUGACAUUUAAAAGGAUACCUCUUAAUUAGUGAUUUCGCCCUAAACUUGGGCAAAUCCUAUGCGGCGCCCUAAGCCGGUACAGGGCGCAUACACCUCUGAAAGAACAUGCGGUGCCCCCAUGUUUGGUUUUGGUAAUUGAUGACAAUCUCUAUGGACUAAUGGUUGCCUUGAGUUAUAUUUGAAGGAUUUGUCCAUAGGCAUUUCUUGAAGUUCAUGUGUUGGUUUCAAGGAGUUUAUGUGGUGACCAAGGUGUUAUUAAGGAAUUAUCCAAAGAUUGGUCAUGUGAGAGUUGAGCUUAUUGCAAGCAUGUCUUGGAGAAGAAGAUUGUGUGAUCAUUCAUGUAUAUCUUCAAGACAUCAUCCAAAAGAAGAGAGUUGAAAAGAUUCAAGGUUGAUCAAGACUAAGUCAAGAGUGAAUCAACUUGAUCAACUCACAAAGCGUAGAAGAUGUACCGAGAGGGAUCAAGCGAUCCCAUGGUGUGGUAAGCAUUGUCAAUUACGCUUUGUGUACUAACCCAUGAUCUUCGUGAGAGUUCUUUGUGGGGUUAGGUUGCGGUGUGCAAGUUCAAGUGAAGCAUCAUGAAGAGAUCAAAUGCUUGAAGCUUGCCGUCCAUUGUGGUGACAAUGGACUUGUGAAGAUGUGCGGAAGAGUGGCUCACCCAUAGUGGAGCAUGGGGGAGCAAUCAACUAGUCUUCAUCGAGCCAACGCAACCAAGAAAGGUGGUCCAACUUGAGGGAGUCAAGAUCUUCAUCAUCUAGCUCAAGUGGACCAUGUGCAAGGCAAAGGUUUGCUCUUGAUAGGUUUUCUAUUUUACCGGUCUCAUGAUGGUAGUUGGGAGACCGGGUUAUAGGAUCGAUUGCCGUACUAUCAAGGGGGGCUCUCGAUGAGUAGCUUGAUCGUAUCGUUCAUAGAGAGCUCAAACCAUUGCAUCCUUGCAUCAUCUUUAUUGGUUCUUGUUUGGUUCUUCUCUUUGUGAGUUUUGGAGCUUAUGGUCAUCUUGAUGACAAGCUCGAGUUCAUCGAAAACGGAGUUCACUCGCAUCUUCUAUGAUGUUUUCGAUGUUGGAGGUUAUGCCGGUUCUUCUCGGUUGGAGGUUUUACUCCUCUAUUUGUUGGCAUACCUCCCCUGCCUCUUCUUACUCUAUUUUGAUGCUACUCGUCUUCCUCUAUCCAACAAGCUUGAGUUUGCUCAAUUCGGAGCUCAUAUGAAGAAGUUUUGGUAGUUCUGUUUUUCUCCCUGCGGUAGUACCGCGGUGGCAGCGGUAGUACCGCUUGUAGCGUCAAGCGGUAGUACCGCGGCGGCAGCGGUAGUACCGCGGCGGCAGCGGUAGUACCGCUUGUAGCGUCAAGCGGUAGUACCGCUCUACUACCGCCUCGAUUUUGGGUCUGCUCUUUUUGUGUCGGGCUCAGCGGUAGUCGCGCGGCAGUAAGGCACGGUAGUUCCGCCUAUAAGCGGUAGUACCGCUCCGGCCGAGCGGUAGUACCGCUGUGGUGAGCGGUAGUACCGCUUAUAAGCGGUACUACCACCCUAAGGUUCAUGUUUUGUUGAUCCGUUUCCCUGCUUCUUCCGCCCGAGCGGUAGUACCGCUCGUGUGCGGGCUGAGCACAUAACGGUUGGAUUUCCCCCUCCUAUAAAAGGGGGUCUUCUUCCCCAAUGAACCUUAUCCUUUGAGCUCGUGUUCUUCCCCCAUUGUUGACCUUCUUCGAGUUUGCUAUCUCUCAAUCCCUCCAUGGAUUCUUGCUAGUUUUUGGGGGAAAAGAGAGAGGAGAUCUAGAUCCACAUUUCCACCAAUCACUUUCUCCUCUAGGUGAGGGGAACCCCUUGGAUCUAGAUCUUGGAGUUCUUGGUGUUCUCCUUCUUGUUCUUCCUCUCUUUUCCCUCCCUAGCAUUAGUUGCUUUGGUGGGAUUUGAGAGAGAAGGACUUGGGCACUUCGUGUGCCCUUGCCAUUGCAUUUGGUGCAUCGGUUUGAGUUCUCCACGGUGAUACGUGGAAGUUACAAGUUGAGAAGCUUAUUACUCUUGGGUGCUUGGUACCCUUGAGCUUGUUCCUCUUGGGUGCUUGGGCGCCCUAGACGGUUGGUGGUGUUCGGAGCUCAAUCAUUGUGGUGUAAAGCUCCGGGCAAGCGUCGGGGUCUUCAAUUAGGUUGUGGAGAUCGCCCCGAGCAAUUUGACGGGUUCCGGUGACCGCCCCCAAGGGUUGCCAAAGUGUACGGGUUCGGUGACCGCCCCCAAGGGUUGCCAUUUGUACGGGUUCGGUGACCGCCCUCAAGGGUCCCUUAGUGGAAUCACGGCAUCUUGCAUUGUACGAGGGCGUGAGGAGAUUACGGUGGCCCUAGUGGCUUCUUGGGGAGCAUUGUAACUCCACACCGCUCCAAACGGAGAUUAGCAUCCGCAAGGGUGUGAACUUCGGGAUACAUCGUCGUCUUCGCGUGCCUCGGUUAUCUCUUACCCGAGCCCUUUACUUAUGCACUUUACCUUGUGAUAGCCAUAUUGUUUUUGUCAUAUAUCUUGCUAUCACCUAAGUAGUUUUCUUGCUUAGCAUAAGUUGUGGGUGCACAUAGGUGAGCCUGUUGUUGUAGGUUUUGUGCUUGACAAAUUAACCGCUAGGUUUAUUCCGCAUUUGUUCAAGCCUCAACCGUAAUUAUUUUAAAGCGCCGGUUCAUCCCCCCUCUAGGCGACAUUCACGAUCUUUCAACCUCGUCCCCGAUGGGCUAACCCAUUUUCAUUUUUUCCCUAAACUGCUGCAAAAACACGACCUAAGAUGGGAUUCGAACCCAUGCCACGAUGGUUCAGCAUAACACGCGAUAACCAACCCAACCACUUUCACUUUAUGUGAUUAGGUACAUCUUCUUCCCUUUUUUAUUCUUUCUUUUUUAAAGCUCGCAAGUUUUUCUUCAAAAUUGAUGAAUUGUUUUUCAAUUUUAUGAACCUUUUUUCAAAUUCGUGAGCUUUUUCCAAAAUUGAUGAUUUAAAAAAAAUCGAUGCACCUUUUCAAAAUCGAUGAACUUUUUUAUAAUUCGAUGAACUUUUUUCAAAAUCGAUGAAGUUAUUCUCAAAAUUGAGGAACUUUUCAAAAUGGAUGAAAAUUUUAAAUCUGGUGAACCUUUUUUUUUCAAAUUCGAUGAACUUUUUUGAGAAUUGAUGAACUUGUUUUUCUAAUUGAUGAACUUUUUCAAAAUCUAUGAACCUUUUUUUUGAAUUCAUUAUUUUUUUGAGGUUUAUGGACUUUAUUUCAAAUUUCACGAACAUUUUUUAAUUCACAAAGUUUUUAGAUUUUUUGCUGGAUUUUUUUCAACGGUUACCGGUCAACUAGCGAACAGUUGCCCGGUCAACCGAGAUCGAGCGAAUGAGGCAACCUGGGCCAGCUAAGUUUGCGAGCCCUAGAACGUGUAACCGACGCUGAAGGCGCCCGUUAGGAGCUCCCCUAAACCAAUAUAAUAUCAAAAUUAGCAAACCAACAAUUAGGCCUCAUCUUACCCUAAAAAUGAUAGUUGGGCCUCAUCUCGCAGUUUCUAGAAAGAAUUACUGGCCUGGAUAAUAGGGCAAGCCCCUUUUGGCACUGCAGGCGCUAGUUACUACUGUUUCUGCAAACUGGCGCUUGCAGGCGCGUUAGCUGGGCCGACCCAUCUAGGGUUUUCUUUUUCUGUGCUUAAUCUCGCAAAAACAAAGCACGCUGGUAAUUAUUCGAACCCAAGACCAACCUAACAAAGUUAGUCUGGAGAAACCACCCCGCCAUCCCAGCGGGAUCUGUUAAAAAUGAACUUUCUCCUUCUUUUAGUCUUUCUUUUCCCUUUUUGUUUUUUCCUUUUUUUUCCUUUUCUGUUUUCUGUUUUUUAUAUUGGUUUUUUGAAUUGUUUGCAAAUACAUGAACUUUUCCUUUAAAUCGUUGAUUAUUUUUGUAAAUUCUAUGAACUUUUUUUCAAACUGAUGAACUUUUUUCAAAUCGAUGAUUUUUUUUCAAAUUCGAUGAACUUUUUUAAUUUGAUGAUUUUUUUACAAAUUUUAUGAACUUUUGUCAAAUUUGUUGAUUUUUUUCAAUAACCAUUAUUUUUUUUCCAAAUUCUAUGACCAUUUUUUAAAAUUGCUGAACUUUUAUCAUAUUUGAUGAACAUUUCUCAAAUUUGAUGAAUGUUUUUCAAAUUUGAUGAUUUUUCUUUUCAAAAUCUAUGAAUGUUUUUCAAAUUUGAUGAACAUUUUUUCAAGAUGGAUGAACAUUUUUUUGAAAAUCAAUGAACGUUUUUCAGGUUUGUGAACUUUUCUUCCAAAAUGAAGAAUUUUUUUCAAAAUCAUGAUUAUUUUCCAAAUAAUUCAAAAAAGUUAAGCGCUACAAUAGAUGAAUCGUUAUGUGCAAUAAAAUAGCGGUGCAGCAUUGUUAUUAUGCACUUGCCGCUGUUACUACAAGUGUCAAGUAUCUCGACUGGUUGGUGGCACUUGUACGUGUAGAGAGGAACAUUUUCGCGGUUUUUAUUUUUUGCGAGCUUUUGCGUUCACUGCUCUGCGCGUUUUGUGGGGCGGCCCACUCGUGUCGUCUUCAAGCCCCAGGACCGUGAACGGGCGCUUGCAGCGCUUUAUAGGAGCUCCUGGAUCAUAGUCCGUGACACUCCUAUCUCUCGCCGGCAGCACUGCCUGAACAACGACUCCGCUCCGGUUGCCGCCAUCCCAUCGUCGCCGCAGCCGACCCCGAUUCUGCAACGCGGCCGCCAUUUUCGAUACCAUAAGUUCACGGAUUUUUACUAAUUGUUUCAGAUUGAUGCUUUUGAUGUCCAUAGGCUUUGGCUUGUUUUCCGGUCGUAUGUACUCGAUGCAUGCUGCCGUUCUCAUAGCUCUAACUUGCCUCCGCACUACAGUUGCAAUCUGUCUUAUUAGUGACUAGUGACCUAACUCUUUACAGUUAGAAUCUGAGCAACUGAGUAGCAUGGGACAUUGAAAGAUACUACGAAGCAGUGCCGGAAGGAAGGUCCAUUUGUUUUAUUAGGUCGGUUGUACUCUUGAUGGUACUCAUUUGUUAACUGCAGGCCAUGCUCCAUAGCAGUGCAUCAUCUUGAAAAUAGCCUAUCUUAAACUCAUUGUAUGUGUAAUUAUGCAAACAUAAAGAACUGCAUUGAUUUUGUCUAAAAGUGACAUGAAAGACAAACAUACUGACAUAACUAUUCUGUCGACUAGCAGUAAUGUCUUUUCACUUCCUCUGCUGAAACUAUAGUUUGUUCAUAAAAAAAGUAGUACUAGUUUUGUUUUCUGGUAUUUCGAGUUCAUUAAAUUAGUCUUCUCGCGGCAAGUGAGGCUAGACUGUAAAGUGCUCUUGAAAUAUCAGCAUCGUCCAAACAUUAUUGACAGAAUUCAGGCGAUAAUCUGUAAAUAAAGAAAAGAAGCGCAUAGGUGUGUACUUGAACCUUUUUCAGGGUUUUGCUUUUAUUUAAACAAAUUGCAUUCAGUAGGUAGGCAACAUGUAUGUACAAAGAGGCACACCAACUUCUAAUAGCCGAGACUUGGCAUAUUUCCAUGGAUAUUGUGAAAGUUGUUACCGGCAAUAUAUAAUUAUCACUCUAGAGUUUGCUACUUGGAAUCUAAUGCAACAAUAUUUUGUGACGUUGACUAGAAAUGCUUACUACUAUGCAUGCUAGAAUGGUGCAUGUGCAAACCUUUUCGUAUCACAGCUGAAGUCUUAGGUUUAAUUCUCCGAACAGAUAUGGCUUGACCACGGCACAUGAUUGAUCUGUGAAAACUUCAUGUGAGCAGGGCACUUUAGUAUUUGCCAGUCUAUUUUUGGUACAUGAUAACGAUUUUCGUCUUUGCUGGCUAUUUUUGGUUACAUUGUUGUUACUCAAAAUGAAGUUCAAUUGUUUUUUCUUUAUUCUUCUUUGUAUGCAAGACUUGACUGUAGCUUCUGCAUGUAUAAUUUAUAUUGCUUGGUAUUUGACACACAAGAUGUACGAACCCUUGUAUCUGUGCUACCACUAGUGCAGAACCGGGCUUUAGCGCCGGUUCGUAAGGGCCUUUAGUGCCGGUUCUACAACCGACACUAAAGAGUGGAGACUAAAGCCCCUCCCCCCUACUACCGGUUCGGCACGAAUCGGCGCUAAAGUGCCACCACGUGGCACGAGCCAGGCCCGGGUGCUGGUAGACCAUUAGUACCGGUUGGUAGCACCAACCGGUACUAAAUGUUUGGGGGGUUUUUGGUUUUAAUUUUUAUUUUUCCAUUAAUUUUGUGUUUUCCAUUUAAUUCUUUUUUGUUUGCUGGUAUUUUAUGAUACUACAUAUUGUACACGUUAUGCAUAUAUAUAAAUAGAUUUUCUCGUAGAACCGAUCAUAUAUAUAUAUAUAUAUAUAUAUAUAUAUAUAUAUAAUCGAAUGUCUCACAACCACCAUUAAUUAUUCACACAUACACAUGUAUAUAUAUAUACAAUUUCUCCUACAUGUUGCCUUGGUGCCUUCGGAGCACGAUGACAAGUGGUUCAUGGGGGCGGUAGCGGGUAAUAGUAUUCUCCUUUGGGAUCUAUGACCUGGUCGAGCAAAAAUCCCGCUAUUUCCUCUUGAAGUGCUAGUAUGCGCUCCGUUGGUAGGAGCUGCUCCCGCACCUCUCUGAACUGUUAAGAAGGAGAUCAAUAUGCAUGUGUAUUAGUUGUGUGAAUAGAUAUCGAUAAUGGUGUAAAAAAUUGUGAAUAGUUUCUGACAAACGUACCCAGUCCUGUCUAUCAGAUCUGCUCCUUUCGGACGCCAUCAUGCGAAUGUUCUCGCAAACGUAGAUUGCACACAGAUCAGUCCCCGGCGCCUGCUUCAGGGCCUUUACGAGAAUUGAAUUUAAUCAGGUAAUAAUUAAUCAAGCAUGAUAAUUAAUUAAUGGUAUUGAAACAAGAAUUAAAGAGAUGGUAGCUAGCUAGCUAGUGCUACUUAAUUACUUACCUUGGGUCGAUACCAAAAUAGCUUUUCUCGCCAUUUUUCUGGAGUCAUCUGAUGCCUCUUCUUCAGCUUCUUCCCGCAUUGUCGGCUCAGCUUCUUCCCCCAUUGUUGUAUCAUCGUAUUCAGGGAACCCAUGGCCAGGAUAGCUGUCGUCAUCCUCUUCUUCUUCAUUGUCUUCCAUCAUAAUCCCUCUUUCUUUGUGCUUGGUCCAAACAUUAUAGUGGGGCAUGAAACCGGACUUAAACAGGUGGACGUGAAUGGUUCUUGACGUAGAGUAAUUGUGAUCAUUCUUACAGACAGCACAUGGACAAGGCAUAAAACCAUCCGCCCGCUUGUUUGCCUCAGCCGCAAGCAGAAAAGUUUGCACGCCAUUAAUGAACUUGGGAGAGCAUCGGUCAUCGUACAUCCAUUGUGAAAGAUCGUGGAUGUCGCCUAGAGGGGGGGGGGGUGAAUAGGCGCUUUAAAAUAAUAACGUUUAGGCUUGAACAAAUGCGGAAUAAACCUAGCGGUUAAUUUGUCAAGCACAAAACCUACAACAACUAGGCUCACCUAUGUGCACCAACAACUUAUGCUAAGCAAGAUAAAUAACUAGGUGAUAGCAAGAUAUAUGACAAGAAACAAUAUGGCUAUCACAAAGUAAAGUGCAUAAGUAAAGGGCUCGGGUAAGAGAUAACUGUUGGGGAACGUAGAACUGUUGGGGAACGUAGCAACUAGUGAUAUACCCCUUAGUGGGCUGGUUUGCCCCUUCCCCUUUGGCCCAUGAGGCCCUCCAACACUUGCCGGGGCUCCCGAAACACCUUUCGGUCAUGCUGGCCAUAGCCUGGUACCCCCGGAACACUUCCGCACUCCAAUACCCUUCGUCCAAUAUAUCGAUCUUCACCGCCGGACCAUUCCGGAACUCCUCGUGAUGUCCGGGAUCUCAUCCGGGACUCCGAACAACCUUCGGUAACCACAUACUAUUUCCCAUAACAACUCUAGCGUCACCGAACCUUAAGUGUGUAGACGCUACGGGUUCGGGAACCAUGCAGACAUGACCGAGACACCUCUCCGGCCAAUAACCAAUAGCGGGAUCUGGAUACCCAUAUUGGCUCCCACAUGUUCCACGAUGAUCUCAUCGGAUGAACCACGAUGUCGGGGAUUCAAUCAAUCCCGUAUACAAUUCCCUUUGUCUAUCGGUAUGUUACUUGCCCGAGAUUCGAUCGUCGGUAUCCCAAUACCUCAUUCAAUCUCGUUACCGGCAAGUCACUUUACUCGUUCUGUAACGCAUAAUCCCGUGGCUAACUCAUUAGUCACAUUGAGCUCAUUAUGAUGAUGCAUUACCGAGUGGGCCCAGAGAUACCUCUCCGUCAUACGGAGUGACAAAUCCCAGUCUCGAUUCGUGCCAACCCAACAGACACUUUCGGAGAUACCUGUAGUGCACCUUUAUAGCCACCCAGUUACGUUGUGACGUUUGGUACACCCAAAGCAUUCCUACGGUAACCGGGAGUUGCACAAUCUCAUGGUCUAAGGAAAUGAUACUUGACAUUAGAAAAGCUCUUAGCAAACGAACUACACGAUCUUGUGCUAUGCUUAGGAUUGGGUCUUGUCCAUCACAUCAUUCUCCUAAUGAUGUGAUCCCGUUAUCAAUGACAUCCAAUGUCCAUGGUCAGGAAACCAUAACCAUCUAUUGAUCAACGAGCUAGUCAACUAGAGGCUUACUAGGGACAUGUUGUGGUCUAUGUAUUCACACAUGUAUUACGGUUUCCAGUUAAUACAAUUAUAGCAUGAACAAUAGACAAUUAUCAUGAACAAGGAAAUACAAUAAUAACCAUUUUAUUAUUGCCUCUAGGGCAUAUUUCCAACAGUCUCCCACUUGCACUAGAGUCAAUAAUCUAGUUCACAUCACCAUGUGAUUAACACUCAAAGUUCACAUCGCCAUGUGACUAAUACCCAAGAGUUUACUAGAGUCAAUAAUCUAGUUCACAUCACCAUGUGAUUAACACUCAAUGAGUUCUAGGGUUUGAUCAUGUUAUGCUUACGAGAGAGGUUUUAGUCAACGAGUCUGCAACAUUCAGAUCCGUGUGUGCUUUACAAAUCUCUAUGUCAUCUUGUAGAUGCAGCUACCACGCGCUACUUGGAGCUGUUCCAAAUAACUGCUCUACUAUACGAAUCCGGUUUACUACUCAGAGUCAUCCGGAUUAGUGUCAAAGUUUGCAUCGUCGUAACCCUUUACGACGAACUCUUUUACCACCUCCAUAAUCGAGAAAAUUCCUUAGUCCACUAGUUACUAAGGAUAAGUUCGACCGCUAUCAUGUGAUCCAUUCCUGGAUCACUAUUGUACCCCUUGACUAACUCAUGGCAAGGCACACUUCAGGUGCGGUACACAACAUAGCAUAUUGUAGAGCCUACGUCUAAAGCAUAGGGGACGACCUUCGUCCUCUCUCUCUCUCUUCUGCCGUGGUCAGGUCUUGAGUCUUACUCAAUACUCACACCUUGUAACACAGCCAAGAACUCCUUCUUUGCUGAUCUAUUUUGAACUCCUUCAAAAUCUUGUCAUGGUAUGUAUUCAUUUGAAAGUAUUAUUAAGCGUUUUUGAUCUAUCCUUAUAGAUCUUGAUGCUCAAUGUUCAAGUAGCUUAAUCCAGGUUUUCCAUUGAAAAACACUUUUCAAAUAACCCUGUAUGCUUUCCAGAAAUUCUACAUCAUUUCUGAUCAACAAUAUGUUAACAACAUAUACUCAUCAAAAAUUCUAUAGUGCUCCCACUCACUUCUUUGGAAAUAUAAGUUUCUCAUAAACUUUGUAUAAACCCAAAAUAUUUGAUUAUCUCAUCAAAGCAUACAUUCCAUCUCCGAGAUGCUUACUCCAGUCCUUAGAAGGAUUGCUGGAGCUUUGCAUACUUGUUAGCAUAUUUCAGGAUUGAAAAAACCUUCUGGUUGUAUCACAUACAACCUUUCCUCAAGAAAAUCGUCGAGGAAACAAUGUUUUGACAUCCUAUCUGCAAGAUUUCAUAAAUAAUGCAGUAACUGCUAAUAUAAUUUCAACAGACUCUUAGCAUCGCUACGAGUGAGAAAGUCUCAUCGUAGUCAACUCCUUGAACUUGUCGGAAAACAUCUUAACGACAAGUCGAGCUUUCUUAAUGGUGACACUUACCAUCAUUGUCCGUCUUCCUUUUAAAAUCCAUGUGUACCCAACAGACUUACGACCAUCAAGUAGUUCUUUCAAAGUCUAUACUUUGUUUUCAUACAUGGAUCCUCUCGGUUUUAUGGCCUCAAGCCAUUCGUCGGAAUCUGGGCCCACCAUCGCUUCUCCAUAGCUCGUAGGUUCAUUGUUGUCUAGCAACAUGACUUCCAAGACAGGAUUACGUACCACUCUGAAGUAGUACGCAUCCUUGUCGUCCUACGAGGUUUGGUAGUGACUUGAUCCGAAGUUUCAUGAUCACUAUCAUAAGCUUCCACUUCAAUUGGUGUAGGUGCCACAGGAACAACUUCCUGUGCCCUGCUACACACUAGUUGAAGUCAUGGUUCAAUAACCUCAUCAAGUCUCCACCAUCCUCCCACUCAAUUCUUUCGAGAGAAACUUUUCCUCGAGAAAGGACCCGUUUCUAGAAACAAUCACUUUUGCUUGCAGAUCUGAAAUAGGAGGUAUACCCAACUGUUUUGGGUAUUCUAUGAAGAUGCAUUUAUCCGCUUUGGGUUCAAGCUUAUCAGCCUGAAACUUUUUCACAUAAGCGUCGCAGCCCCAAACUUUUAAGAAACGACAGCUUAGGUUUCUCUAAACCAUAGUUCAUAUGGUGUCGUCUCAACGGAAUUGCGUGGUGCCCUAUUUAAAGUGAAUACGGAUGUCUCUAAUGCCUAGCCCAUAAACGAUAGCGGUAAUUCGAUAAGAGACAUCAUGGUAUGCACCAUAUCCAAUAGGGUGUAGUUAUGAUGUUCAGACACACCAUCACACUAUGGUGUUCCAGGCGGUAUUAAUUGUGAAACACUUUCCACAAUGUCUUAAUUGUGAAAUCACUUGAACCUUUCAAUAAUUCAGACUUGUGUUUCAUCAAGUAAAUACACUCAGCAUCUACUCAAAUCAUCUGUGAAGUAAGAACAUAACGAUAUCCACUGCAUGCCUCAGCACUCAUUGGACUGCACACAUCAAAAUGUAUUACUUCCAACAAGUUGCUUUCUUGUUCCAUCUUACUGAAAACGAGGCCUUUCAGUCAUCUUGCCCAUGUGGUAUGAUUUGCAUGUCUCAAGUGAUUCAAAAUCAAGUGAGUCCAAACGAUCCAUCUGCAUGGAGUUUCUUCAUGCAUAUAUACCAAUAGACAUGGUUCGCAUGUCUCAAUCUUUUCAAAAACGAGUGAGUCCAAAGAUCCAUCUACAUGGAGCUUCUUCAUGCGUUUUAUACCAAUAUGACUCAAAUGGCAGUGCCACAAGUAUGUGGUACUAUCAUUACUAUUUUAUAUCUUUUGGCACGAACAUGUGUAUCACUACGAUCGAGAUUCAUUUUAGGUGCAAGACCAUUGAAGGUAUUAUUCAAAUAAACAGAGUAACCAUUAUUCUCCUUAAAUGAAUUACCGUAUUGCGAUAAACAUAAUCCAAUCAUGUCUAUGCUCAACACAAACACCAAAUAACAAUUAUUUAGGUUUAACACCAAUCUCGAUGGUAGAGGGAGCGUGCGAUGUUUGAUCACAUCAACCUUGGAAACACUUCCAACACAUAUCGUCAUCUCACCUUUAGUUAGUCUCCAUUUAUUCCGUAGCUUUUAUUUCGAGUUACCAACACUUAGCAACCGAACCGGUAUCUAAUACCCUGGUGCUACUAGGAGUACUAGUAAAGUACACAUUAAUAUAAUGUAUAUCCAAUAUACUUCCGUCGACCUUGCCUGACUUCUCAUCUACUAAGUAUCUAGGGUAGUUCUGUUUCAGUGACCGUUCCCCUCAUUACAGAAGCACUUAGUCUCGGGUUUGGGUUCUACCUUGGGUUUCUUCACUAGAGCAGCAACUGAUUUGCCGUUUCAUGAAGUAUCCCUUCUUGCCCUUGCCCUUCUUGAAACUAGUGGUUUUACCAACCAUCAACAAUUGAUGCUCCUACUUGAUUUCUACUUUCGCGGUGUCAAACAUCGCGAAUAGCUCAAGGAUCAUCAUAUCUAUCCCUGAUAUGUUAUAGUUCAUCACGAAGCUCUAGUAGCUUGGUGGCAGUGAAUUUGGAGAACCAUCACUAUCUCAUCUGGAAGACAACUCCCACUCGAUUCAAGCGAUUGUAGUACUCAGACAAUCCGAGCACAUGCUCAACGAUUGAGCUUUUCUCCCUUAGUUUGUAGGCUUAAGAAACUUGUUAGAGGUCUCAUACCUCUUGACGUGGGCACUAGUCUGAAAUCCCAAUUUCAGUCUUUGGAACAUCUCAUAUGUUCUACGACGUUUCAAAAACGUCUUUGGCGCCUCAAUUCUAAACCGUUAGCAUUACGCACUGAACUAUCGCGUAGUCAUCAAAACGUGUAUGUCAGAUGUUCGCAACAUCCACAAACCACGCUCGAGGUUCAGCACACCGAGCGGUGCAUUAAGGACAUAAGCCUUCUGUGCAGCAAUGAGGUCAAUCCUCAGUUUACGGACCCAGUCCGCAUAAUUGCUACUAUCAACUUUCAACUAAAUUUUCUCUAGGAAUAUAUCUUAGUAGAACUAAAGCGUAAGCUACGACAUAAUUUGCAAAGACCUUUUGACUAUGUUCAUGAUAAUUAAGUUCAUCUGAUUAUUUAAUGAACUUCCACUCAGAUAGACAUCCCUCUAGUCAUCUAAGUGAUACAUGAUCCGAGUCGACUAGGCCAUGUCCGAUCAUCACGUGAGACAGACUAGUCAUCAUCGGUGAACAUCUCCAUGUUGAUCGUAUCUACUAUACGACUCAUGUUCGACCUUUCGGUCUCUUGUGUUCCGAGGCCAUGUCUGUACAUGCUAGGCUCGUCAAGUCAACCUAAGUGUUUCGCAUGUGUAAAUCUGGCUUACACCCGUUGUAUGCGAACGUUAGAAUCUAUCACACCCGAUCAUCAUGUGGUGCUUCGAAACAAUGAACCUUUGCAACGGUGCACAGUUAGGGGGAACACAUCUCUUGAAAUUUUAGUGAGGGAUCAUCUUAUUUAUGCUACCGUCGUUCUAAGCAAAUAAGAUGUAAACAUGACAAACAUCACAUGCAAAUCAUAAAGUGACAUGAUAUGGCCAAUAUCAUCUUGCGCCUUUUGAUCUUCAUCUUCGAGGCGCGGCAUGAUCACCUUCGUCACCGGCAUGACACCAUGAUCUCCAUCAUCGUGUCUGUCACGACCAGUUUUUCAAUAAAAUAUUUAUUGAGAGACCAAUCCCUUUUACGGACCAGUAAAGAAGAAUUCCUUCUCACUGGUAGACAAUAUCUUGGUCACAGAAGGAAAAUACCAGGAGUACUGAAUAUGAUACAAGGUUGAGCGGAGACUGCUCAACAAUUUAUUACAUGCACGCCGAUAAAACAUAACGGCGAAUAGGGUGGCAUAACUACUAACUCACGAUAACAACGGUGGUGGAAAAAUCACAGCGGAGCGGGUGAUAUGACUCCUGAAAACUACAGCUCUUCGAGCGUCAGGGUGAAGCUCGAGGAGAUUUAUUGCGGGUGGCGGAAGCGUAUAUUAUACAAGUGACCAAUAUCCAGGAUCGCACGGGGCUCACUGGGACUCCUCUAGGCGUCGGAAUCACUAUCAAACUCUUCAUCCAUGAGAUCGCCUUCGUCAACAUCUGGCCAAAUCAACAAGCCAGGUGAGUACUAUGAAAGUACUCGCAAGACAGUUCGGACAUAAGAUAUAACAAAUGUAAACAUGAUGCAUAUGAACAGGUUAACAAGUGUACUCAGACAUAGAGAUAAUACUGCACGGGAAAUAAAAGAGAAGUCGGGCGGUAGUCCUCCCGAAGUCCCAAAAAAAUAAUAUACUGGGUGCCAAACGAGGGUCUGAAUGACUCCUCGAGAGGAAAAUGCAAGAAUAAUAAUAAUGCCGCAGUCGGGCGUCGAGGCGACACCACAUAAAGGGCUUAUAAUGGAAAAAUAAAUGACAGUGCGUGCCACAGUCGGACGUGUGAAGCGACAUCACAUAAAGGGCUUAUAUUGAAAGUAAAAGACAAACAUGCCACAGUCGGACGUCUGAGCGACAUCACAUAAAGGGCUUAUAUUGAAAGUAAAAGACAAACAUGCCACAGUCGGACGUCUGAGCGACAUCACAUAAAGGGCUUAUAUUGAAAGUAAAAGACGAACAUGCCACAGUCGGACGUCUGAGCGACAUCACAUAAAGGGCUUAUAUUCAUAACUUAGUAGCUCAUGAAUUUUAAAUCAUAUCAAGAGAAUAAUCAGGCAUGAGAUAAACAACAGGGUUAGUCCAUCCACAGGAAUAACGUUCAGCCAAGUUUACUACUCACGCUCGCUUACCGGAAAGAAAAAUACACCACAAGGUUAUGACAUAGACAUGGUACGCUGAUCACGUUACUUGACCAUGGAUACGAUGACUCGGAAGGAUUUGACUCUGCAGAGUUUGUACUUUAACCACAGCCAACGGAUUUCAGUAGUCACGGGGACUAGUUCCGCUUACGGUGUUUUGGAAGAAACACGUCUAACCAGUACACACCCAUUCAACAUUCCGAAUCCAGGAAUCAUCCUCGGCAACGUUCAAGAAAAACCUUGAGACGGGGAGGCUACAACCUCGCGUAGCAUGGGAUCAAAUUUCUAUACGCGCGCUCUAAGGGGUGCCCCCCCUCUCGGUCCCAACCAGAAACACCCAUGCCCCCUGACCGGAUGACUGGCUUUAAUCCAGGGCCAUGGAACCCUCAUCCCGGCCCCUCUGUUUGAAGUGUACACGGAAAGAGGUUACCAACUUACUAAACCGCAUUCUGGCAGAAAACAUGUGGUAGCACGGAAGGGGGAAGAACGAUAACGUGACUCCGUCCGCGUUAACGUCGGAAUUAAACGGAUGACUUAAGGCUGGCAUGCUACAAUAGUACCACCUUACUGCCCUUCAUGUCACCACAUGACUAGGCCAUCUCUCAUCAGAGAUCACAGUAACUUUGGAACACACGGGUAGUUGCCUCACAUGCAACGAGAUACUCACCGAUACUCAUAUGCCAUGCACAACCAUUCAAGCAAACAUGAAAAAAACCCGUCAUAUCAAAGGUUCAAACAUGCUUGCCUGGUUCGGAGAAGUCGGAGUCUAGCUCGGCGAAGUUCGCGGCUCCGUCACCUCUCCCGGAACCUACGGUAUAGCGAAAAUGCAUACUAGCGUGAAAACCAACGCGUGCGUAAAAGUUGUUCCAAUUUUUUUUCAAAUAAAUCCCAUAAAAAACUAGACAAAAUUAUAAGACUGUCAGAAAAAGAAUCACUCAAAAAUCACUUUUUAUUAAAAAGUUAUAAGGGUUUCUGUCCAGGGACUCAUCUGUAAUGAAACAGAAAAGUUCCAGGGGCUUAACUGAGAAAACAGAAAACGGUUCGAAUAGAAACGCGCCAGCCCACUGAGAAAACGUACUCUGCCCGAAGGCGCCAACAGAAAACGCUUCGGGGGUGAAAGAAGAGAGGCUGACAUGGGGGGUCCACAUGUCAGGUUUGAAAAACCUCGCCGGCGCCCGAAGGCUGCGGUGGUCGCCGGCGUCGAACCACGGCGAGUCAGGGAGAUCGGAGUGUACCAAGAGUACCAGCGUGUCCUUCCACGUUGGUGGGUGGUGGACUUGGGCGUCGGAGAGCACCACGUCGACGGCGACACUUUCUCCGGCGGACGGCGGCUCGGGCGAUGGUGGAGAACUCCGGUGGGUGCUGCAAACUUCGAAUUGAAGCGCGGGUCAGAAGGAGGGAUGCACUAGAGAGCUACUGGCAAGAGAUGGGAGGCAGAGGUGCACGCACGGGAGCGAAUCGAGCUGGAUCCCGUGGCGGGUCGCGGCGGCCGAAGUUGGGGAAGAAGGCUCCCUCGGGGCUCUUCCAGUGGCUAGGCGUGGUGUUGGAGGUAUGCAGAGGUGGUGUGGGUUCUAGCUGGAGCUCGGGGCCUCUAUUUAUAGGCGGCUCGAGGGGGUGGCCGUGAACGGGAUCACUCCGGCGAGCAAUUACGGCGAGGCGUCGGCUUGGCAAGGAGCUUAAGUGGCCAGGCAGCAUCAGUGAGGUGUACUGGUGUCGUUCCCCCGCUAAUCCUGGUCGGUCUUGGCGUAAUGGUGCCGGUCCGCGGCGGGGUGGCCGUACGGGCACGACGGUGGCAGAGAGCGUGCUCCGCGCCCAACGGUUCACGACGAGGGUGGCAGCGUGCAUGGGGGAGUGGAAGGCCACGCGGCGGCCUCCGGUGGCUUGGGCGGCGCUGGGUGGCGCCGUCUGCGCUGCGCCUCUCUCUGGUGGCCGCAAAGCCGCCGCUGGCGUCGGUCACGGGGCGGCGCACCUCCUCCUGCUCGUCGCCGACGCCCGCAACCUUUCAGGCGCUCGUGCGGUGCAGAGGACAAGGGGGAGGGGACAGGAAACACGGCGACACCGGGGCACUGGCGAGAUCGACAACAGACACUGAAGAAACGACAGUAGAUCAGACACUGUUAACUGAAUUUGACUGAACCUUAGAGAAACAGUGUCCAGCAGGUGUUCGAUGAAAUGAUUUGGUAUGAAGAAAAUUUUUCCUGGAGCUGGGACUUGGUGAGGUGACCUCUCAAUGCACCCAGAGGCUGCCUGAUUUUUCUCAGAAUUUUUGGAGAAGGAUUUGAAUGAAUUUCAUCAAAUUUGGCAAAUCUGGUCCAAACUUGCAGUAAGUAUAGUUUGAAAAAUUUGAACUGGAGACCAGUGGAUCUUCAUGGAUCUUGGUUGAGGGUUCAAAGGACUAGGAAGGGAAAAAGGUUUGGGGGCAAAAAUCAAAGCAGAAAGAGUAGUUCCUUUGUAAACCUCCAAGGAUCAAGAUAUAAGGCAGAAAUUGUUUUUGAUAAGAAAUAAAAGGAAAUAAUUAUAUGGAGAGGUUCAACUUGCUGGAUUUGAGGCAUAUCAUGAUCCAAAGAUGAGAAAAGGCUUAUGGGAGGGAAUUUACCCUGAGGUCAUGGCAAGAGGAAUUUUUGAAAGUGGAAAAGGAUCAUUCCAAAAGCUAUAGGGCCUUUUAAAGAAAUUUUCAAAGGACAUUUUUCUAAGAGGAAAAACAUUUUGGUGUGAGUCAAAAUAAAAGAGGAAAACCUCCAAGACCAAAAUCAAGUUUUGAGUGAAUCCAAAAAUGAAGCACUAGUCAUAAAAGAAAAUAUUUUGAGAGGGAGAGUUCUUUUAGAAGAAAAGUUUAAAUCACCUCCCUCAAAACAAGGAAAAGUUUUGAAAAAGCCAAAUAAAAUUUUGGGUGUCACAACACUUACCCCCUUAGGAAAAAUCUCGUCCUCGAGAUUUCAGCUGAUCCUCAAAUAGGUAUGGAUACUCUGCCUGGAGAAAAUCUUCCCUUUCCCAUGUAGCUUCAUCCUCAGUGUGGUUGCUCCACUAAACCUUGAAAAUUUUUAUCGUUUUCUGCCGGGUCCUCCUUUCAGACUCUUCCAAUAUCUUUACUGGCCGUUCUCUGUAGGUGAGAUCUGGUUGCACAUCGAUGCUCUCAUGAGGUACAUGCUUCUCCGGGUUACUUACACAUUUCCUCAAUUGUGAGACGUGGAACACAUCAUGGACGUCUGACAGUUCCUUGGGUAGGUCUAGUUUGUAGGCUACUGUGCCUCUUCGUGCUGUCACACAGACUGGUCCGAUAAAUCUCGGGGCUAGCUUCCCCUUAAUUUUGAACCGUUGUAGGCCCCUCAUAGGAGACACUCGUAGGUAUACGGAAUCACCGGGUUCAAAGCUGACCUCACGAUGUUUUUGAUCGUAGUAGCUCUUUUGUCGGCUUUGGGCUGUCUUGAGUCUGUCCCUGAUCUGUUUAACUUUCUCCUCGGCCUCCUUGAGCAUGUCUGGGCCGAAGAUACGACUGUCACCUGUUUCUGACCAAUUCAGUGGGGUACGACACCUCCGUCCGUACAAUGCUUCAAAAGGUGCCAUCUGUAAGCUGGCUUGGUAACUGUUGUUGUAAGCAAACUCGGCAUACGGCAAACUCUCUUCCCAACUGGAUCCAUAGGUGAGCACACAGGCUCUCAGCAUAUCCUCUAGGAUUUGGUUCACACGUUCCGUUUGUCCAUCAGUUUGAGGGUGGUACGCUGUACUGAAAGCUAGUUGCGUGCCUAGAGCUUGUUGUAAGUGAUCCCAGAAUUUAGAGACAAAUUGAGUGCCUCGGUCGGAUAUUAUAGUCUUUGGGACCCCAUGCAAACAAACUAUACGGGAGAGAUAAAGCUUGGCUAGCCUUUGAGUGGAGUAGGUUGUCUUCACGGGAAUGAAGUGAGCAACCUUGGUUAGCCUAUCUGUGAUGACCCAAAUGGCAUCAUUUCCGCGUUGCGAUCGAGGUAGUCCGACAAUAAAGUCCAUCCCAAUCUCAUCCCACUUCCAUUCAGGUAUCCUGUUUGGCUGGAGUAGCCCUGCUGGCUUUUGAUGUUCGGCCUUGAUGCGCUGACAUGAAUCGCAACAAGCAAUAAAUGCGGCUAUAUCUCUUUUCAUACCGUGCCACCAAAAUCUUUCCUGAAGGUCUUUGUACAUUUUGGUCCCUCCAGGGUGGAUCGAGUAUGGAGCGGUAUGGCUUUUGGUUAGGAUUUGUUGCUUGAGUUCCUUAUCGUCAGGUAUGCAAAGUCUGUCCCCGUACCAUAAGAUUCCUUCAUUGUCUGUGACGAACUUUGACGCUUUGCCAAGACUCAUUUUUCUCUUUAUACCUCCGAUGCUGGGAUGCUCCUGCUGGGCCUUCUUAAUUUGUUCCAUAAGGGUGGGAUGUAUUUCUAGGUUUGAUAUGGUGCCCUCAGAGACUAACACCAUGCUGAGUCUAGCGAACUCUUGCUGAAACCCAGGCCUCAAGUUUUGUGGACUGUCGUCAUCCGGGCUAGGGUUCCGACUAAGGGCAUCAGCCACUACAUUUGCUUUCCCUGGAUGGUAGUGAAUACCGACAUCAUAGUCCUUGACCAAUUCCAACCAGCGCCGUUGGCGUAAAUUUAGUUCUGGUUGUGUGAAAAUAUAUUUGAGGCUCUUAUGGUCCGUAUAUAUUUCACAACGAUUUCCCAACAGAAAGUGCCUCCACUCCUUGAGUGCACGGAUGACCGCUGCUAGCUCCAGGUCAUGAGUUGGAUAAUUUUCCUCAUGCUUCCUUAGUUGCCUGGAAGCAUACGCGACAACUCUGCCAUCCUGCAUCAGCACACAUCCAAGGCCUUUCCGGGAGGCGUCACAAUAUACUUCAAAACUCUUGUGUAUAUCUGGCACGGUCAAAACUGGUGCUGUUGUUAGUUUCUUCUUGAGUUCUUGGAAGCUUUCCUCACACGCUUCCGUCCAUACAAACUUCUUAUCUUUCUUGAGCAACUGGGUUAUUGGUUUUGCCACAGUGGAGAAUCCUUCAAUAAAUCUCCGGUAAUAUCCAGCCAUUCCUAGGAAACUCCGCACAUCUGUCACGUUGGCGGGUGGCUUCCAGUCAAGUAUGGCUUUGACCUUUUCUGGGUCUACGGCUAUGCCUUCUUGGUUUAAUACGUGGCCUAGGAAACCAGCUUGUCUUAGCCAAAAUUCACACUUGCUAAAUUUGGCGUACAAUUGGUGUUUCCUUAAUUCUCCCAAAACGAUUCUGAGAUGCUCAGCAUGCUCUUCUGGUGUUCUUGAAUAAACCAGAAUGUCGUCAAUGAACACCACAACAAAUUUUUCCAUAAACUUCAUAAACACUUUGUUCAUGAGGUGGACGAAAUAAGCGGGGGCGUUCGUCAAUCCAAAAGGCAUCACUGUGAACUCAUAUAAUCCGUAUCUGGAGGUGAAUGCUGUUUUAGGGAUAUCUUCUGUCCGUACUUUCAAUUGAUGAUAUCCUGAUCUCAAAUCAAUUUUUGAGAACACCUUGGCUUGCGUGAGCUGGUCAAACAAAUCAUUUAUCCGUGGCAUCGGAUAUUUGUUUUUGAUGGUGACCAUAUUGAGAGCUCGAUAGUCUAUACAUAGUCUCAGUGUCCCAUCCUUUUUCUUGGCGAAUAAAACUGGCGAACCCCAAGGUGAGGAGCUGGCUCGAAUAAAUCCCUUGUCCAAUAACUCCUUUAUCUGCUUCUUCAACUCUACCAAUUCUGAGGGUGCCAUCUUGUAAGGUUUCUUAUAGAUAGGAGUGGUGCCAGGUGCUAGUUCAAUGCUGAACUCAAUCUCUCGGUCUGGUGGCAUGCCUGGUAGUUCUUCAGGAAAUACGUCUGGAAACUCACACACCACUGGAACUUUUCUCAAUACUGAAAUGUCCACUUUGUUCAAUUUUGGUUGUCGUGACCGUGGUCUUUCUUGAGCUGUAACCUUAAUUGUCUUGCCUUGAUGAUGGGUGAGGAUCACUAUCCGAUUGAAACAAUCAAUAAAUCCUUUGUUGGUGGUCAACCAGUCCAUCCCUAGGAUGACAUCCAGUCCUUUAUUUUCCAACACGAUAAGAUUAGCUUGAAACUGUAGUCCUUCGAACUCAAUGAUCACUCCUCGGCAGUAACUCUGAGUGAUUUGCUUAUUUCCAGGGGACUUGAUGACCAUAGAUUUUUCCAAAGGAAGUAUCGGAAAACCAUGUUGCAAAACAAAACUCUUCGAAAUGAACGAAUGGGAAGCUCCAGAAUCAAACAAAACCGUGGCAGGUACUGUGUUGACAGGGAACGCACCGAGCACGAUGUCUGGGGCAUUCUGGGCUUCUUCCCUGGUCACAUGGUUCAGGUGACCCUUCCUGUGGUUGUUGUUGGGAUUGAAAUUGUUGCGCUUGGGGGCUGGAUUAUUCCCACCAUUGUUCGGCUUGGGGGCCGAGUUCCUUGGCUUUGGACACUGUUUGGCAUAGUGCCCUUCUUCACCACAAGCAUAGCAUGUGACCCCUGGACGGUACGUGAACUCCUUGUCCCUGGCAUCAAACUGUCUGACUGGCCUUAGAUCAGUAGUCGUGGAUUUCCUUGCUUCUGUCCUUGGAACCUCAGUCUUGCUUCGGUUGUUCCGAGCAAGAGUCGUCUUGUCCCUCUUUCGCUUACGGAUAUCUUCCAGACCACGGCGCUCAUUCUCCAAGGUAAUGGCCUUAUCAACCAGAGUUUUAAAAUCUGGGAAAGUGUGUACGACCAGUUGGCAUCUUAGUGCCGGUGCCAGGCCGUCCAAGAAUUUCUCCAUCCUCUUGUUCUCCGUCAUGUACUCGUCGUAGGCAUAACGAGAUAGCUGGGUAAACUGACCGUUGUAUUCUGUCACUGACAUGCCUCUUUGCUUGAGGUCGUCAAAUUCUCUCUUCUUGAUUUUUAUGAUGCUCCUGGGGAUGUGUGCCCCACGAAAGCCUUCCUUGAACUCUUCCCAGGUGAUGUUGUGUUCACUGGGAUGCAUGUGUAGGAAGUUUUCCCACCAUGCUGCAGCUGCUCCAGUAAGGUAGUGUGGUGCAUAAAGCACCUUCUCAUUAUCUGAACACUGAGCAAUAAUCAGCUUCCUUUCGAUGUCACGAAGCCAAUCAUCGGCUUCAAGUGGCCUAUCGGUGUGAGCAACGUUGAAGGGCGUGUCUUCUGCAGUUCAGACAACUUGGAGUUUGGUUGGUACGGCUCACGGUGAUUUCCCAUGUUGAUGACGUGGUUCAUCAUCUCUUGGUGAUGUUGCUGGCUUUGUUCGAAGAGACGGCAUACUUGAGACAAGGCUGCUUCGCUGUCUUGUUGACUAGACUGUCCCUGAGUGAAGUUGUUGCUGGUCUGAGUUCCAAAUACUUCUUCUGGCUGAUUGGGCAUGGAACGAGUCCAUGGACGAGACAUUUUCCACUCUGGGGUAUUAUUUGCAAAAUCAUGAGAAGAACUGUGAGGUGCAAGGAAAAUCUUGCAAAGACAAAAAAAUUUAAAAGAUCUCAAGAUUUUUCAAGAAAACAUAAACGAUUUUGCAUGGAGAAGAACUGCUUAGCACAUAUCUUACACGCGAAACGCAAACAUACGAUACAGCACUCAGGAUGUGUGUACACAUUCCUGACAUGUUAUUAAGGCACAUCUCUCCGGAAAGCAGCGUACACAACUACUACGAGCUAACGCACAGAUAAAACUCAUCAAACAUAACAUACAUGCAGACACAACGCGCGGCUACUCGGUGCUCUCAGUCGGGGAUGGUGAAGAUCUCCUUUCCCUUGCCGAGGGUAAGACCCAGCGGUGCAGGAGACUCAACCUCCACCUCCUCCCUAGCAGGCUCCUGGCGCGUAGCACUGCGCUGCGGUGAUGGCGUGGGUGCGACAGGCGGUACAGCUCGGAUUAGAGUAGGAGCGAUGACUCGAUCGAACUCCUCAGUGGUAGACAGACGAUGAGCAGUGGCCAAAAUGGCCGGCGCAUAAGAUGCUGAAGACGAGACGAAUGUCAGUGGCGGUGCCGUGUGAAGAAGCUCCUUCCUGCAGGCAGGACCGCCCCGAACUAAGUCCAUGCGGGCAGCCACAAGAUCAUCCACGAGGUUGUCAAAAGAUUCCUCCAGAGCUUUGAGAUACUCAACCACCAUCUCGAUGGCCUCAUCUCGCUCUCCCCUAUGGCAGGCGAAUGCAUAGUGACAAGUAUAUGGCACAUGGCAUGGGAGGUAGCGGUAGCGACGAGUCUUCAUCGUAGGAAGGAUGUCCCGAAGGCGAGCUAUCGCCUCACGGGCAGCCAUCUGCAUGGCAUGCCUCUCCGUAGGCAUGGCCCUUCCCACAAAACGGAAGUGGCGUGAUGCAAAACGUCCUCCCUUGAAUUGCACCACGGCUUGGUGCAUAGACACGUCGUCGCUGAGCUUGUGCUGGUAAAGUGUGAACUCCGGACGAGUCGCUGGCCCGAUCGCGAGCUUGGUGAUGGAAACGAGGAGCUUGAGAAACCCCUCUGGCACGUUUGUGAACACUCGAGUCUCGCAGUUGCUGCCAGCCAUCUACAAAAGUAGGCAAAAAUUCUGAGUAGUCAUGUCAUAAAUUUAUGAUGACCAACAGAAAAUAGCUACAAUUGCAAAAUGCUGAAAAAGCACAAAAGACGCUAAUAACCAAUUAGCGAUCGCACCUAGUGGCUUCCUACAGUCAGCCUGGCUCUGAUACCAAGCUUGUCACGACCGGUUUUUCAAUAAAAUAUUUAUUGAGAGACCAAUCCCUUUUACGGACCAGUAAAGAAGAAUUCCUUCUCACUGGUAGACAAUAUCUUGGUCACAGAAGGAAAAUACCAGGAGUACUGAAUAUGAUACAAGGUUGAGCGGAGACUGCUCAACAAUUUAUUACAUGCACGCCGAUAAAACAUAACGGCGAAUAGGGUGGCAUAACUACUAACUCACGAUAACAACGGUGGUGGAAAAAUCACAGCGGAGCGGGUGGUACGACUCCUGAAAACUACAGCUCUUCGAGCGUCGGGGUGAAGCUCGAGGAGAUUUAUUGCGGGUGGCGGAAGCGUAUAUUAUACAAGUGACCAAUAUCCAGGAUCGCACGGGGCUGACUGGGACUCCUCUAGGCGUCGGACUCACUAUCAGACUCUUCAUCCAUGAGAUCGCCUUCGUCAACAUCUGGCCAAAUCAGCAAGCCAGGUGAGUACUAUGAAAGUACUCGCAAGACAGUUCGGACAUAAGAUAUAACAAAUGUAAACAUGAUGCAUAUGAACAGGUUAACAAGUGUACUCAGACAUAGAGAUAAUACUGCACGGGAAAUAAAAGAGAAGUCGGGCGGUAGUCCUCCCGAAAUCCCAAAUAAAUAAUAUACUGGGUGCCAAACGAGGGUCUGAAUGACUCCUCGAGAGGAAAAUGCAAGAAUAAUAAUAAUGCCGCAGUCGGGCGUCGAGGCGACACCACAUAAAGGGCUUAUAAUGGAAAAAUAAAUGACAGUGCGUGCCACAGUCGGACGUGUGAAGCGACAUCUCAUAAAGGGCUUAUAUUGAAAGUAAAAGACAAACAUGCCACAAUCGGACGUCUGAGCGACAUCACAUAAAGGGCUUAUAUUGAAAGUAAAAGACAAACAUGCCACAGUCGGACGUCUGAGCGACAUCACAUAAAGGGCUUAUAUUGAAAGUAAAAGACGAACAUGCCACAGUCGGACGUCUGAGCGACAUCACAUAAAGGGCUUAUAUUCAUAACUUAGUAGCUCAUGAAUUUUAAAUCAUAUCAAGAGAAUAAUCAGGCAUGAGAUAAACAACAGGGUUAGUCCAUCCACAGGAAUAACGUUCAGCCAAGUUUACUACUCACGCUCGCUUACCGGAAAGAAAAAUACACCACAAGGUUAUGACAUAGACAUGGAUACGCUGAUCACGUUACUUGACCAUGGAUACGAUGACUCGGAAGGAUUUGACUCUGCAGAGUUUGUACUUUAACCACAGCCAACGGAUUUCAGUAGUCACGGGGACUAGUUCCGCUUACGGUGUUUUGGAAGAAACACGUCUAACCAGUACACACCCAUUCAACAUUCCGAAGCCAGGAAUCACCCUCGGCAACGUUCAAGAAAAACCUUGAGACGGGGAGUCUACAACCUCGCGUAGCAUGGGAUCAAAUUUCUAUACGCGCGCUCUAAGGGGUGCCCCCCUCUCGGUCCCAACCGGAAACACCCAUGCCCCCUGACCGGAUGACUGGCUUUAAUCCAGGGCCAUGGAACCCUCAUCCCGGCCCCUCUGUUUGGUGUGUACACGGAAAGAGGUUACCAACUUACUAAACCGCAUUCUGGCAGAAAACAUGUGGUAGCACGGAAGGGGGAAGAACGAUAACGUGACUCCGUCCACGUUAACGUCGGAAUUAAACGGAUGACGUAAGGCUGGCAUGCUACAGCAGUACCACCUUACUGCCCUUCAUGUCACCACAUGACUAGGCCAUCUCUCAUCAGAGAUCACAGUAACUUUGGAACACACGGGUAGUUGCCUCACAUGCAACGAGAUACUCACCGAUACUCAUAUGCCAUGCACAACCAUUCAAGCAAACAUGCAAAACACCCGUCAUAUCAAAGGUUCAAACAUGCUUGCCUGGUUCGGAGAAGUCGGAGUCUAGCUCGGCGAAGUUCGCGGCUCCGUCACCUCUCCCGGAACCUACGGUAUAGCGAAAAUGCAUACUAGCGUGAAAACCAACGCGUGUGUAAAAGUUGUUCCAAAUUUUUUUCAAAUAAAUCCCAUAAAAAUUAGACAAAAUUAUAAGACUGUCAGAAAAAGAAUCACUCAAAAAUCACUUUUUAUUAAAAAGUUAUAAGGGUUUCUGUCCAGGGACUCAUCUGUAAUGAAACAGAAAAGUUCCAGGGGCUUAACUGAGAAAACAGAAAACGGUUCGAAUAGAAACGCGCCAGCCCACCGAGAAAACGUACUCUGCCCGAAGGCGCCAACAGAAAACGCUUCGGGGGUGAAAGAAGAGAGGCUGACGUGGGGGGUCCACAUGUCAGGUUUGAAAAACCUCGCCGGCGCCCGAAGGCUGCGGUGGUCGCCGGCGUCGAACCAUGGCGAGUCAGGGAGAUCGGAGUGUACCAAGAGUAUCAGCGUGUCCUUCCGCGUCGGUGGGUGGUGGACUUGGGCGUCGGAGAGCACCACGUCGACGGCGACACUUUCUCCGGCAGACGGCGGCUCGGGCGAUGGUGGAGAACUCCGGUGGGUGCUGCAAACUUCGAAUUGAAGCGCGGGUCAGAAGGAGGGAUGCACUAGAGAGCUACUGGCAAGAGAUGGGAGGCAGAGGUGCACGCACGGGAGCGAAUCGAGCUGGAUCCCGUGGCGGGUCGCGGCGGCCGGAGUUGGGGAAGAAGGCUCCCUCGGGGCUCUUCCAGUGGCUAGGCGUGGUGUUGGAGGUAUGCAGAGGUGGUGUGGGUUCUAGCUGGAGCUCGGGGCCUCUAUUUAUAGGCGGCUCGAGGGGGUGGCCGUGAACGGGAUCGCUCCGGCGAGCAAUUACGGCGAGGCGUCGGCUUGGCAAGGAGCUUAAGUGGCCAGGCAGCAUCAGUGAGGUGUACUGGUGCCGUUCCCCCGCUAAUCCUGGUCGGUCUUGGCGUAAUGGUGCCGGUCCACGGCGGGGUGGCCGUACGGGCACGAUGGUGGCAGAGAGCGCGCUCCGCGCCCAGCAGUUCACGACGAGGGUGGCAGCGUGCAUGGGGGAGUGGAAGGCCACGCGGCGGCCUCCGGUGGCUUGGGCGGCGCUGGGUGGCGCCGUCUGCGCUGCGCCUCUCUCUGGUGGCCGCAAAGCCGCCGCUGGCGUCGGUCACGGGGCGGCGCACCUCCUCCUGCUCGUCGCCGACGCCCGCAACCUUUCAGGCGCUCGUGCGGUGCAGAGGACAAGGGGGAGGGGACAGGAAACACGGCGACGCCGGGGCACUGGCGAGAUCGACAACAGACACUGAAGAAACGACAGUAGAUCAGACACUGUUAACUGAAUUUGACUGAACCUUAGAGAAACAGUGUCCAGCAGGUGUUCGAUGAAAUGAUUUGGUAUGAAGAAAUUUUUUCCUGGAGCUGGGACUUGGUGAGGUGACCUCUCAAUGCACCCAGAGGCUGCCUGAUUUUUCUCAGAAUUUUUGGAGAAGGAUUUGAAUGAAUUUCAUCAAAUUUGGCAAAUCUGGUCCAAACUUGCAGUAAGUAUAGUUUGAAAAAUUUGAACUGGAGACCAGUGGAUCUUCAUGGAUCUUGGUUGAGGGUUCAAAGGACUAGGAAGGGAAAAAUGUUUGGGGGCAAAAAUCAAAGCAGAAAGAGUAGUUCCUUUGUAAACCUCCAAGGAUCAAGAUAUAAGGCAGAAAUUUUUUUUGAUAAGAAAUAAAAGGAAAUAAUUAUAUGGAGAGGUUCAACUUGCUGGAUUUGAAGCAUAUCAUGAUCCAAAGAUGAGGAAAGGCUUAUGGGAGGGAAUUUACCCUGAGGUCAUGGCAAGAGGAAUUUUUGAAAGUGGAAAAGGAUCAUUCCAAAAGCUAUAGGGCCUUUUAAAGAAAUUUUCAAAGGACAUUUUUCCAAGAGGAAAAACAUUUUGGUUUGAGUCAAAAUAAAAGAGGAAAACCUCCAAGACCAACAUCAAGUUUUGAGUGAAUCCAAAAAUGAAGCACUAGUCAUAAAAGAAAAUAUUUUGAGAGGGAGAGUUCUUUUAGAAGAAAAGUUUAAAUCACCUCCCUCAAAACAAGGAAAAGUUUUGAAAAAGCCAAAUAAAAUUUUGGGUGUCACAGUGUCUUCAUGAAGUUGUCUCGCCAACUAUUACUUCUACUACUAUGGCUAACGGUUAGCAAUAAAGUAAAGUAAUUACAUGGCAUUUUUCAUUGACACACAGGUCAUACAACAAAUUAUGACAACUCCUAUGGUUCCUGCCGGUUGUCAUACUCAUCGAUAUGCAAGUCGUGAUUCCUAUUACAAGAACAUGAUCAAUCUCAUACAUCACAUAUAUCAUUCAUCACAUCCUUUUGGCCAUAUCACAUCACAUAGCAUACCCUGCAAAAACAAGUUAGACGUCCUCUAAUUGUUGUUGCAUGUUUUACGUGGCUGCUAUGGGUUUCUAGCAAGAACGUUUCUUACCUACGCAAAAGCCACAACGGUGAUAUGCCAAUUGCUAUUUACCCUUCAUAAGGACCCUCUUCAUCGAAUCCGAUCCGACUAAAGUGGGAGAGACAGACACCCGCUAGCCACCUUAUGCAUCAAGUGCAUGUCAGUCGGUGGAACCUGUCUCACGUAAGUGUACAUGUAAGGUCGGUCCGGGCCGCUUCAUCCCACAAUGCCGCCGAAUCAAGAUAAGACUAGUAACGGCAAGCAAAUUGAACAAAUCAUCGCCCAUAACUACUUUGUGUUCUACUCGUGCAUAGAAUCUACGCAUAGACCUAGCUCAUGAUGCCACUGUUGGGGAACGUAGCAAUAAUUCAAAAUUUUCCUACGUGUCACCAAGAUCAAUCUAGGAGAUGCUAUCAACAAGAGAGAGGGAGUGCAUCUUCAUACCCUUGAAGAUCGCUAACCGAAAGCGUUACAAGAACGCGGUUGAUGGAGUCGUACUCACGGCGAUUCAAAUCGCGGAAGAUCCGAUCUAGCGCCGAACGGACGGCGCCUUCGCGUUCAACACACGUACAGCCCGGGGAUGUCUCCUCCUUCUUGAUCCAGCAAGGGGAGAGGAGAAGUUGAGGGAGAACUCCAGCAGCACGACGGCAUGGUGGCAAUGGAGCUCGUGGUUCUCCGGCAGAGCUUCGCUAAGCACUACGGAGGAGAAGGAGGAGGUGUAUGAGGAGGGAGGGCUGCGCCAGGGAAGAGGUGUGGCUGCCCUCCCACCCCUCCACUAUAUAUAGGGGCAAGGGGAGAGGGGGAGGCGCCCUAGGGUUUCCCCUAGGGGGCGGCGGCCAAGCAGAUUGGAUCUCCCUAGGGAAAAUCCUAGGGAGACUUGCCCCCCAAGCCAAGCAGGUGGAGGCUUGCCCCCCAAGCCAGGUGGAGGCGCCCCACCUCCCCAAGUAACGUGGAAAGGGUGUGGGGGCACACCACCCCUUAGUGGGCUGGUUUGCCCCUCCCCCUUUGGCCCAUGAGGCCCUCCAACACUUGCUGGGGCUCCCGAAACACCUUUCGGUCAUGCUGGCCAUAGCCUGGUACCCCCGGAACACUUCCGGACUCCAAUACCCUUCGUCCAAUAUAUCGAUCUUCACCGCCGGACCAUUCCGAAACUCCUCGUGAUGUCCGUGAUCUCAUUUGGGACUCCGAACAACCUUCGGUAACCACAUACUAUUUCCCAUAACAACUCUAGCGUCACCGAACCUUAAGUGUGUAGACGCUACGGGUUCGGGAACCAUGCAGACAUGACCGAGACACCUCUCCGGCCAAUAACCAAUAGCGGGAUCUGGAUACCCAUAUUGGCUUCCACAUGUUCCACGAUGAUCUCAUCGGAUGAACCACGAUGUCGGCGAUUCAAUCAAUCCCGUAUACAAUUCCCUUUGCCUAUCGGUAUGUUACUUGCCCGAGAUUCGAUCGUCGGUAUCCCAAUACCUCGUUCAAUCUCGUUACUGGCAAGUCACUUUACUCGUUCUGUAACGCAUAAUCCCGUGGCUAACUCAUUAGUCACAUUGAGCUCAUUAUGAUGAUGCAUUACCGAGUGGGCCCAGAGAUACUUCUCCGUCAUACGGAGUGACAAAUCCCUGUCUCGAUUCGUGCCAACCCAACAGACACUUUCGGAGAUACCUGUAGUGCACCUUUAUAGCCACCCAGUUACGUUGUGACGUUUGGUACACCCAAAGCAUUCCUACGGUAUCCGGGAGUUGCACAAUCUCAUGGUCUAAGGAAAUGAUACUUGACAUUAGAAAAGCUCUUAGCAAACGAACUACACGAUCUUGUGCUAUGCUUAGGAUUGGGUCUUGUCCAUCACAUCAUUCUCCUAAUGAUGUGAUCCCGUUAUCAAUGACAUCCAAUGUCCAUGGUCAGGAAACCAUAACCAUCUAUUGAUCAACGAGCUAGUCAACUAGAGGCUUACUAGGGACAUGUUGUGGUCUAUGUAUUCACACAUGUAUUACGGUUUCCAGUUAAUACAAUUAUAGCAUGAACAAUAGACAAUCAUCAUGAACAAGAAAAUACAAUAAUAACCAUUUUAUUAUUGCCUCUAGGGCAUAUUUCCAACAGUCUCCCACUUGCACUAGAGUCAAUAAUCUAGUUCACAUCACCAUGUGAUUAACACUCAAAGUUCACAUCGCCAUGUGACUAAUACCCAAGAGUUUACUAGAGUCAAUAAUCUAGUUCACAUCACCAUGUGAUUAACACUCAAUGAGUUCUAGGGUUUGAUCAUGUUAUGCUUACGAGAGAGGUUUUAGUCAACGAGUCUGCAACAUUCAGAUCCGUGUGUGCUUUACAAAUCUCUAUGUCAUCUUGUAGAUGCAGCUACCACGCGCUACUUGGAGCUGUUCCAAAUAACUGCUCUACUAUACGAAUCCGGUUUACUACUCAGAGUCAUCCGGAUUAGUGUCAAAGUUUGCAUCGUCGUAACCCUUUACGACGAACUCUUUUACCACCUCCAUAACCGAGAAAAUUCCUUAGUCCACUAGUUACUAAGGAUAAGUUCGACCGCUAUCAUGUGAUCCAUUCCUGGAUCACUAUUGUACCCCUUGACUAACUCAUGGCAAGGCACACUUCAGGUGCGGUACACAACAUAGCAUAUUGUAGAGCCUACGUCUAAAGCAUAGGGGACGACCUUCGUCCUCUCUCUCUCUCUCUUCUGCCGUGGUCAGGUCUUGAGUCUUACUCAAUACUCACACCUUGUAACACAGCCAAGAACUCCUUCUUUGCUGAUCUAUUUUGAACUCCUUCAAAAUCUUGUCAUGGUAUGUAUUCAUUUGAAAGUAUUAUUAAGCGUUUUUGAUCUAUCCUUAUAGAUCUUGAUGCUCAAUGUUCAAGUAGCUUAAUCCAGGUUUUCCAUUGAAAAACACUUUUCAAAUAACCCUGUAUGCUUUCCAGAAAUUCUACAUCAUUUCUGAUCAACAAUAUGUUAACAACAUAUACUCAUCAAAAAUUCUAUAGUGCUCCCACUCACUUCUUUGGAAAUAUAAGUUUCUCAUAAACUUUGUAUAAACCCAAAAUAUUUGAUUAUCUCAUCAAAGCAUACAUUCCAUCUCCGAGAUGCUUACUCCAGUCCUUAGAAGGAUUGCUGGAGCUUUGCAUACUUGUUAGCAUAUUUCAGGAUUGAAAAAACCUUCUGGUUGUAUCACAUACAACCUUUCCUCAAGAAAAUCGUCGAGGAAACAAUGUUUUGACAUCCUAUCUGCAAGAUUUCAUAAAUAAUGCAGUAACUGCUAAUAUAAUUUCAACAGACUCUUAGCAUCGCUACGAGUGAGAAAGUCUCAUCGUAGUCAACUCCUUGAACUUGUCGGAAAACAUCUUAACGACAAGUCGAGCUUUCUUAAUGGUGACACUUACCAUCAUUGUCCGUCUUCCUUUUAAAAUCCAUGUGUACCCAACAGCCUUACGACCAUCAAUUAGUUCUUUCAAAGUCUAUACUUUGUUUUCAUACAUGGAUCCUCUCGGUUUUAUGGCCUCAAGCCAUUCGUCGGAAUCUGGGCCCACCAUCGCUUCUCCAUAGCUCGUAGGUUCAUUGUUGUCUAGCAACAUGACUUCCAAGACAGGAUUACGUACCACUCUGAAGUAGUACGCAUCCUUGUCGUCCUACGAGGUUUGGUAGUGACUUGAUCCGAAGUUUCAUGAUCACUAUCAUAAGCUUCCACUUCAAUUGGUGUAGGUGCCACAGGAACAACUUCCUGUGCCCUGCUACACACUAGUUGAAGUCAUGGUUCAAUAACCUCAUCAAGUCUCCACCAUCCUCCCACUCAAUUCUUUCGAGAGAAACUUUUCCUCGAGAAAGGACCCGUUUCUAGAAACAAUCACUUUUGCUUGCAGAUCUGAAAUAGGAGGUAUACCCAACUGUUUUGGGUAUUCUAUGAAGAUGCAUUUAUCCGCUUUGGGUUCAAGCUUAUCAGCCUGAAACUUUUUCACAUAAGCGUCGCAGCCCCAAACUUUUAAGAAACGACAGCUUAGGUUUCUCUAAACCAUAGUUCAUAUGGUGUCGUCUCAACGGAAUUGCAUGGUGCCCUAUUUAAAGUGAAUGCGGGUGUCUCUAAUGCCUAGCCCAUAAACGAUAGCGGUAAUUCGAUAAGAGACAUCAUGGUAUGCACCAUAUCCAAUAGGGUGUAGUUAUGAUGUUCGGACACACCAUCACACUAUGGUGUUCCAGGCGGUAUUAAUUGUGAAACACUUUCCACAAUGUCUUAAUUGUGUGCCAAACUCGUAACUCAGAUAUUCAUCUCUAUGAUCAUAUCAUAGACAUUUUAUCCUCUUGUCACGACAAUCUUCAACUUCACUCUGAAAUCACUUGAACCUUUCAAUAAUUCAGACUUGUGUUUCAUCAAGUAAAUACACUCAGCAUCUACUCAAAUCAUCUGUGAAGUAAGAACAUAACGAUAUCCACUGCAUGCCUUAGCACUCAUUGGACUGCACACAUCAAAAUGUAUUACUUCCAACAACUUGCUUUCUUGUUCCAUCUUACUGAAAACGAGGCCUUUCAGUCAUCUUGCCCAUGUGGCAUGAUUUGCAUGUCUCAAGUGAUUCAAAAUCAAGUGAGUCCAAACGAUCCAUCUGCAUGGACUUUCUUCAUGCAUAUAUACCAAUAGACAUGGUUCGCAUGUCUCAAUCUUUUCAAAAACGAGUGAGUCCAAAGAUCCAUCUACAUGGAGCUUCUUCAUGCGUUUUAUACCAAUAUGACUCAAAUGGCAGUGCCACAAGUAUGUGGUACUAUCAUUACUAUUUUAUAUCUUUUGGCACGAACAUGUGUAUCACUACGAUCGAGAUUCAUUUUAGGUGCAAGACCAUUGAAGGUAUUAUUCAAAUAAACAGAGUAACCAUUAUUCUCCUUAAAUGAAUUACCGUAUUGCGAUAAACAUAAUCCAAUCAUGUCUAUGCUCAACACAAACACCAAAUAACAAUUAUUUAGGUUUAACACCAAUCUCGAUGGUAGAGGGAGCGUGCGAUGUUUGAUCACAUCAACCUUGGAAACACUUCCAACACAUAUCGUCAUCUCACCUUUAGUUAGUCUCCAUUUAUUCCGUAGCUUUUAUUUUGAGUUACCAACACUUAGCAACCGAACCGGUAUCUAAUACCCUGGUGCUACUAGGAGUACUAGUAAAGUACACAUUAAUAUAAUAUAUAUCCAAUAUACUUCCGUCGACCUUGCCUGACUUCUCAUCUACUAAGUAUCUAGGGUAGUUCUGCUUCAGUGACCGUUCCCCUCAUUACAGAAGCACUUAGUCUCGGGUUUGGGUUCUACCUUGGGUUUCUUCACUAGAGCAGCAACUGAUUUGCCGUUUCAUGAAGUAUCCCUUCUUGCCCUUGCCCUUCUUGAAACUAGUGGUUUUACCAACCAUCAACAAUUGAUGCUCCUACUUGAUUUCUACUUUCGCGGUGUCAAACAUCGCGAAUAGCUCAAGGAUCAUCAUAUCUAUCCCUGAUAUGUUAUAGUUCAUCACGAAGCUCUAGUAGCUUGGUGGCAGUGAAUUUGGAGAACCAUCACUAUCUCAUCUGGAAGACAACUCCCACUCGAAUCAAGCGAUUGUAGUACUCAGACAAUCCGAGCACAUGCUCAACGAUUGAGCUUUUCUCCCUUAGUUUGUAGGCUUAAGAAACUUGUUAGAGGUCUCAUACCUCUUGACGUGGGCACUAGUCUGAAAUCCCAAUUUCAGUCUUUGGAACAUCUCAUAUGUUCUACGACGUUUCAAAAACGUCUUUGGCGCCUCAAUUCUAAACCGUUAGCAUUACGCACUGAACUAUCGUGUAGUCAUCAAAACGUGUAUGUCAGAUGUUCGCAACAUCCACAAACCACGCUCGAGGUUCAGCACACCGAGCGGUGCAUUAAGGACAUAAGCCUUCUGUGCAGCAAUGAGGACAAUCCUCAGUUUACGGACCCAGUCCGCAUAAUUGCUACUAUCAACUUUCAACUAAAUUUUCUCUAGGAAUAUAUCUUAGUAGAACUAAAGCGUAAGCUACGACAUAAUUUGCAAAGACCUUUUGACUAUGUUCAUGAUAAUUAAGUUCAUCUAAUUAUUUAAUGAACUUCCACUCAGAUAGACAUCCCUCUAGUCAUCUAAGUGAUACAUGAUCCGAGUCGACUAGGCCAUGUCCGAUCAUCACGUGAGACAGACUAGUCAUCAUCGGUGAACAUCUCCAUGUUGAUCGUAUCUACUAUACGACUCAUGUUCGACCUUUCGGUCUCUUGUGUUCCGAGGCCAUGUCUGUACAUGCUAGGCUCGUCAAGUCAACCUAAGUGUUUCGCAUGUGUAAAUCUGGCUUACACCCGUUGUAUGCGAACGUUAGAAUCUAUCACACCCGAUCAUCAUGUGGUGCUUCGAAACAACGAACCUUUGCAACGGUGCACAGUUAGGGGGAACACAUCUCUUGAAAUUUUAGUGAGGGAUCAUCUUAUUUAUGCUACCGUCGUUCUAAGCAAAUAAGAUGUAAACAUGACAAACAUCACAUGCAAAUCAUAAAGUGACAUGAUAUGGCCAAUAUCAUCUUGCGCCUUUUGAUCUCCAUCUUCGAGGCGUGGCAUGAUCACCUUCGUCACCGGCAUGACACCAUGAUCUCCGUCAUCAUGAUCUCCAUCAUUGUGUCUUCAUGAAGUUGUCUCGCCAACUAUUACUUCUACUACUAUGGCUAACGGUUAGCAAUAAAGUAAAGUAAUUACAUGGCGUUUUUCAUUGACACGCAGGUCAUACAAUAAAUUAUGACAACUCCUAUGGCUCCUGCCGGUUGUCAUACUCAUCGAUAUGCAAGUCGUGAUUCCUAUUACAAGAACAUGAUCAAUCUCAUACAUCACAUAUAUCAUUCAUCACAUCCUUUUGGCCAUAUCACAUCACAUAGCAUACCCUGCAAAAACAAGUUAGACGUCCUCUAAUUGUUGUUGCAUGUUUUACGUGGCUGCUAUGGGUUUCUAGCAAGAACGUUUCUUACCUACGCAAAAGCCACAACGGUGAUAUGCCAAUUGCUAUUUACCCUUCAUAAGGACCCUCUUCAUCGAAUCCGAUCCGACUAAAGUGGGAGAGACAGACACCCGCUAGCCACCUUAUGCAUCAAGUGCAUGUCUGUCUCACGUAAGUGUACGUGUAAGGUCGGUCCGGGCCGCUUCAUCCCACAAUGCCGCCGAAUCAAGAUAAGACUAGUAACGACAAGCAAAUUGAACAAAUCAUCGCCCACAACUACUUUGUGUUCUACUCGUGCAUAGAAUCUACGCAUAGACCUAGCUCAUGAUGCCACUGUUGGGGAACGUAGCAAUAAUUCAAAAUUUUCCUACGUGUCACCAAGAUCAAUCUAGGAGAUGCUAUCAACGAGAGAGAGGGAGUGCAUCUUCAUACCCUUGAAGAUCGCUAAGCGGAAGCGUUACAAGAACGCGGUUGAUGGAGUCGUACUCGCGGCGAUUCAAAUCGCGGAAGAUCCUAUCUAGCGCUGAACGGACGGCGCCUCCGCGUUCAACACACGUACAGCCCGGGGACGUCUCCUCCUUCUUGAUCCAGCAAGGGGAGAGGAGAAGUUGAGGGAGAACUCUAGCAGCACGACGGCAUGGUGGCAAUGGAGCUCGUGGUUCUCCGGCAGAGCUUCGCUAAGCACUACGGAGGAGAAGGAGGAGGUGUAUGAGGAGGGAGGGCUGCGCCAGGGAAGAGGUGCGGCUGCCCUCCCACCCCUCCACUAUAUAUAGGGGCAAGGGGAGAGGGGGAGGCGCCCUAGGGUUUCCCCUAGGGGGCGGCGGCCAAGCAGAUUGGAUCUCCCUAGGGAAAAUCCUAGGGAGACUUGCCCCCCAAGCCAAGCUGGUGGAGGCUUGCCUCCCAAGCCAGGUGGAGGCGCCCCACCUCCGCAAGUAACGUGGAAAGGGUGUGGGGGCACACCACCCCUUAGUGGGCUGGCUUGCCCCUUCCCCUUUGGCCCAUGAGGCCCUCCAACACUUGCUGGGGCUCCCGAAACACCUUUCGGUCAUGCUGGCCAUAGCCUGGUACCCCCGGAACACUUCCGGACUCCAAUACCCUUCGUCCAAUAUAUCGAUCUUCACCGCCGGACCAUUCCGGAACUCCUCGUGAUGUCCGGGAUCUCAUCCGGGACUCCAAACAACCUUCGGUAACCACAUACUAUUUCCCAUAACAACUCUAGCGUCACCGAACCUUAAGUGUGUAGACCCUACGGGUUCGGGAACCAUGCGGACAUGACCGAGACACCUCUCCGGCCAAUAACCAAUAGCGGGAUCUGGAUACCCAUAUUGGCUCCCACAUUUUCCACGAUGAUCUCAUCGGAUGAACCACGAUGUCGGGGAUUCAAUCAAUCCCCUAUACAAUUCCCUUUGUCUAUCGGUAUGUUACUUGCCCGAGAUUCGAUCGUCGGUAUCCCAAUACCUCGUUCAAUCUCGUUACCGGCAAGUCACUUUACUCGUUCUGUAACGCAUGAUCCCGUGGCUAACUCAUUAGUCACAUUGAGCUCAUUAUGAUGAUGCAUUACCGAGUGGGCCCAGAGAUACCUCUCCGUCAUACGGAGUGACAAAUCCCAGUCUCGAUUCGUGCCAACCCAACAGACACUUUCGGAGAUACCUAUAGUGCACCUUUAUAGCCACCCAGUUACGUUGUGACGUUUGGUACACCCAAAGCAUUCCUACGGUAUCCGGGAGUUGCACAAUCUCAUGGUCUAAGGAAAUGAUACUUGACAUUAGAAAAGCUCUUAGCAAACGAACUACACGAUCUUGUGCUAUGCUUAGGAUUGGGUCUUGUCCAUCACAUCAUUCUCCUAAUGAUGUGAUCCCGUUAUCAAUGACAUCCAAUGUCCAUGGUCAGGAAACCAUAACCAUCUAUUGAUCAACGAGCUAGUCAACUAGAGGCUUACUAGGGACAUGUUGUGGUCUAUGUAUUCACACAUGUAUUACGGUUUCCAGUUAAUACAGUUAUAGCAUGAACAAUAGACAAUUAUCAUGAACAAGGAAAUACAAUAAUAACCAUUUUAUUAUUGCCUCUAGGGCAUAUUUCCAACAAUAACCGAGGCACGCGGAGACGACGAUGUAUCCCGAAGUUCACACCCUAGCGGAUGCUAAUCUCCGUUUGGAGCGGUGUGGAGGCACAAUGCUCCCCAAGAAGCCACUAGGGCCACCGUAAUCUCCUCACGCCCUCGCACAAUGCAAGAUGCCGUGAUUCCACUAAGGGACCCUUGAGGGCGGUCACCGAACCCGUACAAAUGGCAACCAUUGGGGGCGGUCACCGAACCCGUACACUUUGGCAACCCUUGGGGGCGGUCACCGGUACCCGUCAAAUUGCUCGGGGCGAUCUCCACAACCUAAUUGGAGACCCCGACGCUGGCCCGGAGCUCUGCACCACAAUGAUUGAGCUCCGAACACCACCAACCGUCUAGGGCGCCCAAGCACCCAAGAGGAACAAGCUCAAGGGUACCAAGCACCCAAGAGUAACAAGCUUCUCAACUUGUAACUUCCACGUAUCACCAUGGAGAACUCAAACCGAUGCACCAAAUGCAAUGGCAAGGGCACACGGAGUGCCCAAGUCCUUCUCUCCCAAAUCCCACCGAAGCAACUAAUGCUACGGAGGAAAAUGAGAGGAAGAACGAAGAAGAGAACACAAAGAACUCCAAGAUCUAGAUCCAAAGGGUUCCCCUCACAUAGAGGAGAAAGUGAUUGGUGGAAAUGUGGAUCUAGAUAUCCUCUCUCUUUUCCCCCAAAAACUAGCAAGAAUCCAUGGAGGGAUUGAGAGUUAGCAAGCUUGAAGAAGGUCAAUAACGGGGGAAGAACACGAGCUCAAGGGAUAAGGUUGAAUGGGGAAGAAGACCCCCUUUCAUAGGGGCUCCCGAAUCCAACCGUUAUGUGCUCAGUCCGCGCACAAGCGGUAGUACCCCUCAGGGGAGCGGUACUACCGCCCGAGCGGCAGAACACAGAGAGCGCAGCCAAACAGAGGGCGAGGCAGAGCCGUAUGAGCGGUACUACCGCUGGAGCCAGCGGUACUACCGUUGGCCGUAGCGGUACUGCCGCUUGGCCCAGCGGUACUACCGCUGGGACCGCGCACAGGGAGAAGGAACAAGGAGGAGGGCCAUUGAGCGACACUAGGGGCGGUGGUAGCCGCGGUACUACCGCACACGAGCGGUACUACCGCUCCUACUGCCGCUACUACUGCCGCUGAACCCGACACGAGAAAACCACGUCUCGAGUCGAGGCGGUACCAGCGUGGAACCGGAGCCGUACUACCGCUUAUGGCCAUGGGCGGUACUACCGCUGUGGGAUAGCGGUACUACCACUUGUGGCGAUACGCGGUACUGCCGCUCCGGCCCAGCGGUACUACCGCUGGCGCCAUCCUUAUGCCACUUCCACGAAAACAAGUAUACUCCAAGGAAAACCAGAACUGCCAAAACUUCUGCAAAUGAGCUCCGAAUUGAGCAAACUCAAGCUUGUUCGAUACAAGACGAUGAGUAGCAUCAAAACAACGAUUGGUUAUAGUAAGAAGAGGCAGGGGAGGUAUGCCUAACAAAUAGAGGAGUGAAACCUCCAACAGAGAAGAACCGACAUAACCUCCAACAUCGAAAACAUCAUAGAAGAUGCAUGAGUGAACUCCGUUUUCGAUGAACUCGAGCUUGUCAUCAAGAUGACCAUAAGCUCCAAAUCUCACAAAGAGAACCAAACAAGAACCAAGAAAGAUGAUGCAAGGAUGCAAUGGUUUGAGCUCUUUACGAACAAUACGAUCAAGCUACUCAUCGAGAGUCCCCCUUGAUAGUACGACAAUCGAUCCUAUAACCCGGUCUCCCAACUACCACCAUGAGACCGGUAAAAUAGAAUACCUAUUAAGGAAAAACCUUUGCCUUGCGCAUGGUCCACUUGAGCUAGAUGAUGACGAUCUUGACUCCCUCAAGUUGGACCACCUUUCUUGAUUGCGUUGGCUCGAUGAAGACUAGUUGAUUGCUCCCCCAUACUCCACUAUGGGUGAGCCACUCUUCCGCACAUCUUCACAAGUCCAUUGACACCCCAAUGGAUGGCAAGCUUCAAGCAUUUGAUCUCUUCGUGAUGCUCCACUUGAACUUGCACACCGCAACCUAACCCCACAAAGAACUCUCACAUAGACCAUGGGUUAGUACACAAAACAUAAUGGACAAUACUUACCAUACCAUGGGAUCACUUGAUCCCUCUCGGUACAUCUUCUAUGCUUUGUGAGUUGAUCAACUUGAUUCACUCUUGACUUAGUCUUGAUCAACCUUGCAUCUUUCCAACUUUCUUUAUUUUGAUGAUGUCUUGAAGGUAAACAUUAAUGAUCACACAAUCUUCUUAUUCUUCAAGACAUGCUUGCAAUAAGCUCAACACUCACAUGACCAAUCUUUGGAUAAUUCCUUAAUAGCACCUUGGUCACCACAUAAACUCCUUGAAACCAACACAUGGACUUCAAAGAAAUGCCUAUGGACAAAUCCUUCAAAUAUAACUCAAGGCAACCAUGAGUCCAUAGAGAUUGUCAUUAAUUACCAAAACCAAACAUGGGGGCACCGCAUGUUCUUUCACAUUGUCGGCUCAUCUUCAUUACACAACACCGAAAAGACCAAAUUAAUACAAGUUCAUACAUAAAGUUCAUACAACACUUAAAUGCAACAAACAAAUAACUCUCUAACUAAAGCAUUUAAAUGCAACAACAAAUGCGAUCAAGAUCGCAACUAAGGUAACAAUUGAUCCAAAAGCAUAAUGAUACCAAGCCUCACUAUCAAUGGCAUGUUUUCUAAUCUUUCUAAUCUUCAAGCGCAUUUACUCCAUCUUGAUCUUGUGAUCAUCGAGGACAUCGGCAACAUGCAACUCCAAUUCCAUCUUCUCCCCCUCAAUUCUUUUCCAUUUUUCUUUCAAAUACUCGUUUUAUCUUUCAACUAAAUUUAACCUCUCGACAAUAGGGUCGGUUGGAAUUUCCGGUUCACAAACCUCCUAAAUAAAAAUAUCUAUGUCAACUUGAUGGGCAUAAUAAUUUGUCAUAAACACGAAAUGCAACAACUAGUUUUAAAAGAGAAUAUACCACAUCCGAAUCAUAACAAGGACGAGGGCCGAUGGGGACGGAUAUCAAAACCAUGGCACUAUGUAUAACAAACAACGCACGGGUAAGAUAAUUAUACGAGUAACUAUAUAUCCAAAUCACACAAACAUCAAUUUGGUAAUGUAAAACAUUCAUGAACAAGAGGCUCACCACAAGGUGGUGCCGGCGACGGGACGGUGCGGGCGAUCGACGUUGGUUAUGACGGAGAUUUAGAAGGCACUAAGUAAACCACACCUACAUAUGCAAACUAAGUGUUAAUUAUUUUUGACCUCAAAUUGCAUAUAAAUCAAAUACUAGCACAUAUAUUUCCUCCCAAAUUACUAAACUCAUAAAUUAAUCACUAUACAAAGCAUUGCAAGAGCUAAUCUAGCAAUGAGAGAUGAAAGGAAAAAGUUGCUAACCUUUGUGAUCAUUUGAAUGGAUGGGGAGCUUCAAAUCUUGACAAAUUUUGGGCAAAAUGUGUGAUGAGCUCGAGAGGAAGAGGGAAAGAACGGAGAGGAGAGGGGAAAGGGGAAGAACAGAGCAAGCUCGGGUGGACGAAGGGUUUAUGUAGGACGACCUUUAGCACCGGUUCGUGCCACGAACCGGUACUAAAGGUGCUGGAGGGGCCCCGGACUGACAACAUCCUGCCACCACUCACUUUAGUACCGGUCCGUGGCACGAACCGGUGCUAAAGGUUCGCCACGAACCGGUACUAAUGAGAGCGGGCGGCUAGCCGUUGGAACCGGCACUAAUGUGCUUGACAUUUGACCCUUUUUCUACUAUUGAUACAUGCAAGAUGGGAGAAAUAAUAAUGAAUACUGAAAUCUCAUGUAGAGGAUUGGUUUGGGUAUGCCGUUUACAUGUACUAGAAGCAACAUGUUUAGGCAAUGAAAAAGCCAAAAAAUACAUCUAGUUAUACAUAUACUUCAUUGCUGGAUAACUGACUAUGAUAGUAUGGAGUCAUCCCGGCCAUUACUAUGACCACAUUUUUGUUCUUGCGGUUACUAUGAUUCCGCUUCCCUUUCGCCUAGUAACUAGAGCACGACGAUGUGUAUCCCACUGUUCAGGGUCCUCAUUCCAUACAUCAUCAAGUAAUAGAAGAAACCGAGAGGUCCUCUUGAAGCAACUUCAUGUUGGUCGUCUGAUGAGACCCCACUGGUGACUAAUUCAAUGGUUUCCUUGGUAAGCUUCAUGUGAUCAACAAUUUCUGAAACACACAGCCAAACCAUUAACUGAAAUGCUCAUUUAUUCUUGUAUCAUUGUAGACAAGCUGUGUUAGAGUCGUCUUCCCUAGUCCUCCCAUUCCCACUAUGGGCUGAGGCCAUGCCAUGAGCCGUGUUGUUUGCUAUGCAGCUGAGACCAUGGCAUGAGCUAUGUUGUUUGGUUCUCAACCAUUGAAAUAGAAAGGUUGUCAUGGUUAGAGGCUUGGUUCUCAACCAUUUUUUUCGAACUUUUUUCGAUUUUACUGUUCACCCGAGCUCAUUUGAGCUCAGGAGCAGAAGGACACUUUCGCUUCCGUACCCACCUGAGAAGUAGAGCAAUAUUCAAAAACCUCAUAUUCAUAAUGCCCAACUCCCCUGAUCUUUGCACAUGCAAAUGUUUGCCCGCUUGAUCAUGCGGUAUCGCUGACUACCUUUAGCUUCCCGCCAGAAAAAUCUGGAGUAGGACUUAUCUGUAGACUGUAGUGGCACCGGUCCUGCAGGAAACACGUAAAACCCCAUCAUGAACAUAGCCAAGCUUGAAAGACAGGAGUUUACAAGGACUGUCUAACCGGCCUUGGACAUGAGGUGAAUACACUAGAACUCCGUCCAACCCUGGGCUUUUUGUCCACGAGUGGCACCAGGCCGCACCCCACGAUCUUGGAAUCAAUGAUAGGGACGCCAAGGUAUGUCAAUGGGAACAACCCCAAUAAACAAUUAAGUCGGUUAGUAAUAACAAUUUGUUAUUCCUUGACAUAACUGACCAUGAUCACUUCACUUUUCACGAAGUUAAUUUGCAGAACCAGCUUGUCUGCAAUUGGAGUCAACCACAUAGCACAAACCUUGGGAAAGAUCCUAAGGUCAACUUUUAUGGCGGUUAUUGGCACAAAUUGCCUAAUGUCCAUUGCCCCCACUACCUUGGGUACCAACAAGAUCACUCCAAAGUUAAUCUGGGAUGAAUCAAGAAUACCCACAAAGAACUCCUGAACCAUACACAAAAAUGUGCCCUUGAUCACACCCCAAAACUUCUUUAAAAAGCACACCAAGAGACCAUUUGGUACUGAUGUCGGCGAUGAGUUCAUAGAGUUGAUCAUUGCUUAAGAACCGCUAGGAAAGAGAUUGCACUCCCUGCCACAACCCAUCUCCGGAUCCCAGCGCGGUGAUGAUUCAUGAGGGCCACCACGUAAGGGAGGAGGGUUUUGGGGGGAGGAACAUGGAUGAUAAAGCAAGCCAGGUGUCCGUGACACUACGCUCGAAGAGGCAGGAACCCAUAAGUCAAGCGAAGGGAGGGAUCCCAAGCCAUAUAGGCGACUUAGCGGGGGCCCAGGAGUUGGCAAAGGACGAAAGCCUGAUGCGGAGCAGAUCACCCUAGCCCUCCAAAGGCUGAACCAGCAGCUCCCUAUCCAAGGUUUGUUGGGCUUCCACCAGAGGCCCAACAAGUGAGGUGGAUGAAGGCCCAGCCCCUCCCAACUUGAUCCCCUUCGAGGCAUGGGCCCACUAAGAACCCUAAUCCUCAUGCUCCAUCCUUGACCUGAAUGCCCGAGGACAUCGGUAAGACCAAUGAUUCGCUAGGGAGCAUGUCAACAACCUCGAAGCACCAUCUCUUGCAGCAGAGGAGCCACAUCCAAUUUAUCCGCAGCGCCCCAAUAGGGACUCCUAGACGAAUACUAAUACUCCUCUUUAAUGCAACCCCCCCCCAAAACCCAAGUGUAUGCAAUAUCAUUGCACUUGAGAUAGUGUAAUACUAGGGGGGAUGAUAAUCUAGAACGCACUUCUUGAGAGUUUCGUCGUACCAUGGGGAGCCUUCAAAACCCAUGGAGUUAAAGGGGAUAACCAGAAAGAUGGCGCAUCAGAGGAAGACACCACAUCAAUAGAAGAUACAAGAUAAGAUGGGUUGUCACACACAAAAUCAAGGGAGUGAAGCAUUUCUCACAAAAUCAUAGCCCAAGAAAACUGACGGCAAGAGAAUGGGUGUAGAUCAACUAUGCAAAAAGAGGCCACGAAAAUCCUACUAUAGAGAACAACAAGGACCGGAAAAGGCCACAAAAAUUGUAUAGAAAGGACUAGGACCAAAAAAGUGUGACAUAUAAGGUUUGGUGAAUCCGCAUGGCAUGAGAAACACACGAAAGAACAAGGGAUUUGGUGAAUGCAGCGGAAAAAGAAAGGUAGAAGCUAGGAAGCAAACAUGAGAUAAAGAUGCAGGAGCCAUCGUGUUUUAAGGGAAGGCUGUGCAAGUGUAAUGCUGACAAGGAGCAGGGAAGAAGAGCAACAAGCAAAGGAGGACCUAACACUAGUAGAAGGUGCAAGUUUGAGAUGAAUUGGGUGGAGUGAACACUGACAUGAAGCCAGAUAUAACAACUUUCUCAAAGAGAUUGGCAUAGUUUUUGGUUGGUUACAAUCUCCUAGAGAUGCAAACUAAAAGUCUAGAACGACAGGUGUGGAAGUUUGGGGAGGCACAGUCUUUCAUUGCUUCAUCAUUGACUCCAAAGGCAUUGCCCUUAUACCAGCUGAAGCUGAGGAUAUACUUUUCAGGAAGAGGAGUCUUAUUUUUUUCCACGGGUCGAAUAGAAGCACACUUGUCCCAAUACAAGUAUCAGUCGAAUGGCGUCAUCUACAAAUGUGAUUCCCGAUUCGAUCACGGUGGCUAGGCACGACUUAUUCCAUCUUAAGGAUUAUCUACUUGUUUAAUUUUCUGUAACUUUAGUUGUUUGACUAGCUUUACCCAAUUUCGUUGAUUAUUUCAUGUCUUGUGCAGCCAAAGCUAACAGAGCGAACAAGUUGUGUAUUCCUCGCCCUUACACAUAAUUUGUUUUCCUUCAUCAAGCUAAGGGAUCCGAGGAUGGCAAUUUACGAGGAAAGACGGCGAAGGAACACGUUGUUGUGUAUGACACUGUCUGUGUGUACCAUAUCCAUUUUCAUUUUUGUGUCAUCAGUCAACAAAGUUUGCAAGGAAAGCCACCAAGGAUGGCCGUUUCAACUUGAUAGUAUGAUUUUUUGAAGCGGAGGUACCAUUUCAGUUCCCUGACAAGUGUAGUUUAUGUAAUGGAUGAAGGUACGUGAUUCAGAUUUAUUUUCCCUUUAAUUCAACAUGUUAUUUUGUCUGGUAUUAUUCCACAAUGAUGAUGGGAUAUUGGGGGUGUCAACUGCGUGAAUCAAUGCUUGAAGUUUGCAAUCUGAGUUUGAAUCAGUUGAAAGUUUAAGAUCCGAGUUAGAUUAUGUGGUCAUUUGAUUUUGCCUUCUGAAGAAUUAUGCCAUUGUGUGGUCAAUUUGCAGGCAAGUAUGAGACGGUGGUGUAAUUAUUGGCCAGAUGAAGUAUGGUUUAGUGGUAAAACACAUGAAGAUUAAAAAUAUAAAUAUUAAUUUAUAUUUUCAUCUGUAUUUUUACAUACAUUGUACAAGUAUACAACAUAGUACAACACUAUGUCACUGUACAAGUAUACAUAUUUACGUUUUCUGUACGCUCUAACGGGCUUAAGGCCCGUACCCCCCACCUACUGUGUGGGGGCAAGCGGACGGGUCGAAGGCCGGCCGCCAUAUAAACUGGCGCAUUCUGUGGCAGGCUAGCGAUGCGGUACAAAGCCGAUCAGUGUACUUUUUUUUCUAGGGGAACCGAUCAAUCUACAACUGACGUCACCUCAGAAAAUAAUCUACUACUGGCGUACUAUCAUCCAGCGGUGCGGACCAAGAAAAAAAAAA